This 75287-nucleotide long non-coding RNA is filed under the name Solanum lycopersicum (tomato). RNAcentral describes it as "long non-coding RNA (SLYC_LNC000144)". Lineage: Eukaryota; Viridiplantae; Streptophyta; Magnoliopsida; Solanales; Solanaceae. The record is from RNAcentral.
UGGUGGUUUAAUUGGAGCAGCCCAUCAGGCGUUAUUGUACUUAGGAGGGUACCGACUCGUUAUCCUUCCACUGCAUAAAGCGGGAACUGUUCGUUGCUCUGUGAAACCAGCCUCACGCAGUCCGCUCAACUUUAGGAACCCAACAGCCCAUUCCUUCGAUUGGGUAGCAAGGCCCAGCUCUAUGUUUGGACAGGGCAGGCCAGAAAUUAGCCCACCAGGCCCAACCAUCUGGAACAGCCCAACAUUCCACCAUACUAAUGCCCCCGCUUGGGUUACAAGCCCAUGUUACUAAGCUCGGCAAGCAGUAUUGCUUUAUAAAUUCAUAUAACAAAGAAAGAUUACUAUUCAAUAACGAUGUGGGACACAUUUUGUCAAAGCAUAAAUCUAAUUAGUGAAAUACUUACUAUCUUAAGAAAGUCAAAACAUGCAAUUAAUUCUUAAUUUUGCUCUAUAACUAAUAUGUAAAAACAUGAAAUCUAUUAGAGUGUUACAUGAAAAACAUCAGAGAUUAUGGUAGGAAAGGGUAGAAGUUAGAUUGAGAUUAGAUUUUAGUGUUAUAUGAGAGACUAUGGUGCAUCAACAAAAAAGUGGUAAUGGAAAAAUUUCAAGAAAUGACUCAGAUAUCGUGGAAGUAUUUAAUUGAAGGAAUUCUACAAAAUCUCUUCAAAGAUUCUCACUCAUAUUUUCAAUCUUGCAUAAUUUAUGUAUCAAAUUUUCUUUUAGCUAGACAAAUCUGAAAAUGGUGUGAAUGAAUAGUCUUCAGCAGUUUCAAUUCUCACAACAAGGAAAUGAAUUGUCAAAUAAUAGCGUGUAAAUGUCAGAAUAAGCACAAGACUAGACCUCAAAAUGUAAAAUCUAACCACUACACAAAAAAUUAUCUUUCACUAAUUAACGACAAUAACUUAAUUACAGCUAAAUAUGUCCUGGAAAUCUAUAGAAACAUUAAAUCCAACUAUAUAUUAUUGGUAAAAACUUUAGUACUCUUUGUUAAUAUGAAUAUUUUUCGCCGCUAAAGUUGUUUUUAUUGUAGUUAACUCCCAAAAAACUCAAGACUUGAUAAUUCUCAACCUUUUUCUUAUGAGUCCAUCUAAUAUCGUUCCGGCCCAAAAGUACAAGUCGUGAUGACACUUAUAUAUGUUCCCAACAAAUAGGUAGGCUCAUUUAAUAUUAACUAAGUCAAUUCAAUAUAUAAAGUAGAAUGUAAGUGACAAACAAAAUAUCCAAACACUAAGUCUUUUAAAAUGAAAUGCGGAAAAAUAGAAAUACCACACAAGAUUGGUGUUAUAAGUACAAGAACUUCUACUAUACAAUAGAAGUCUGAAACUUAAAUGACAAGUCUAAAUGUAAGAAAAUUUGUGUAUGUUAUUUGUAGUUUUGAUGAUUUGACAAACUGAGUGAUCUUAUGAAGGAACCUGGUUCUUGGAUCAAUAUACUUUUUGGCUGCCAGCUGGAGAAUGUACAAAAGUUGGUGCACAGUCUCCAACAGUGGCAGAAGUGGGAGACGCGCCCUAAUCCUCAGCCAAUGGGACUGUUUUACGUUUUGUGACUUUUCUACAUAUUCAAAACAUCCCUAUAUUAACAAUUAGUUUUUGCAACUUGAAAAAACAUUCAAGAACUCUUGCAAAGGGCUAGAAAAUCAAGGAGAAGAAAUAUUCAACAACAACAGAAGCUCAAGUGAAAAUUUUGUAGUUGUUUGGGAAUACUUUCUUUUGGUCUUACAUUGUAAACCGAUCCUAAAACUAUAAAGGAAUCAGUGUGGUUUCAUCUGAAAUUCUAAGUUAGUUAGUUGAACUAAUUUAGUGGGCAACCUUUGUGUUGCUUAGAAAAUUCUAAAUCAUUAGUAGGUUAGUGGUUUAGUGGGUAGUCUAUGAGAUCGCUUAGAAAAUUCUAAGUUUUCUAUAGUGAUAGCUUAGUGUGAUUGCUUGUUGGUGAGAUUAAAAAUUUUUCUCACAUUUUGUGUAACCGAUUUCCUUUUGCUUGUGAAGAUUAGUCAAACGUUUGUGAAAAUCCUUUGAGACAUGUCAUGGUUUUACUCCCUUGAGUAAGGAGGUUUCCACGUUAAACUCCUCUGUUGUUAAACUGCAUUUACUUUCUACUAUAUCCUUUUUUGUGUGUCAAUGGACCUGGUCCAUUGACUGAUAGUGGAUGCACAAAUUUUAACAAGUGGUAUCAAGCGGGUACUCUCUAUCUGGUUAAUACCAAGAGAGUGAGUCCUGAUCUAGAAUGGCUUCUCCACUCAAUCUGGAAGAGGGUUAGUCUUCAAUUCGACCUCCUCGUUUCAAUGGCCACUUCUAUAGCUGGUGAAAAGUUAGAAUGCAUGACUAUCUUGUGGCUGUAGACAGUGAACUAUGAGACAUUGUCUUGGAUGGACCCUUCAUUCCCAUGAUUGAAGAGAAAGAUGGUGAAAUCACUAGGCUUGUUCCAAAGCCUAGACACAAAUAUGAUGAAGCUGAUAGGAAAAAGAUUGAAAAUGGAUACAAAGCAAAGAAGCUUCUUGUCUGUGGUAUAAGACCUAAUGAGUUCAAUUGUGUCUCAGCUUGUGAAUCUUCAAAGGAGAUCCGAGAUUGCUUAAAAACAGCUCAUGAAGGACCUGAACAAGUAAAAGAGUCAAAGAUUGAUAUGCUUACCUCUUAGUAUGAAAAUUUCAAAAUUAGAGAAGGUGAAGCUAUUCAUGAGAUGUUCACAAAACUGUCAUCAAUCACAAAUGAGUUAAGAAGUCUUGGAGAACCUAUCAAUAUGAGCAAGAAGGUCAGGAUAGUGCUUCAAAUUCUUCCCAAAUCUUGGGAAAGUAAAGUAGAUGCCAUCACUGAAGCUAAGGAUUUGAAAGUGUUAAUAAUGGAUGAUCUCAUUUGAAAUCUAAAGACCCAUGAAAUGAACCAAAGUUAUGAUCAGUCAAAGAAGGAAGUCAAGAAAGGUAAGUCCUUGAUGCUAAAAUACAGAUCUGAAGAGGACUCCAAUGAUGUUGAUGAUAUGGCCUAUAUUAUCAAGUGGUUUCAAUAGAUUGUGAGGAAAAACAAAGGCUUUAGAAAGGGAGCAAAUGUUCCACGAACUACCACUCAAAAUGAUACCUGUCAAAAGUGUGGAAAGGCUGGACAUUUUAUAAGAGAGUGUCCCUUACUCAAAGCUGAAAACAAAGAAUAUCAAAGACCAAGAGGUGAUAAAGAAAAGCGCAGGGACAUAGUACUCGAUAAAAAUGAUAGAAAAGUUGCUACUGACUAUGUGGUAAAGAAAGCCCUUGCUGCAUGGGGUGAUUUUUUGAGUGAUUCAAAAGACCCUGAUGAACCAAAUGAUGUGUCAAUGGUGGUGGUUCAUGAGGAUGAAACCAUAUUCAGUGAGUUGUUUGAUUUCAUGGCUCAUUCAGAGAAUGAAGAUGAUGACUCUUCUUGAUUUGAAACAUGAUCUGAAUACCUUUUCUCUUAGAAAAUUGAGAACAUUAGCAAAUUUUAUGAUUGAUUCAGUGAUUGAGUUAACUUCUGAAAGAGAUACUAUGAAUGCUGAGUGUGAAAGUUUAAAUGAAAACAGAGAUAAAAUGGUUGACAAAAUGUUGAAAAUUGAAGGCAAAAUGAUUGUUCUAGAAACUGAAAAACUAGAACUCAAAAAUCAAUUGUAUCUGAUGACCAAGAAGUCUAAAAAACUUAAAGGAAGGUCUACUAGUUUACAUGUGGAGCUGGAGGAAAAAAUUGAAAAACACUGAGACUAACUUUGUCUUAGCCUUGGAAAAGAACAAAAGCUUAGAGAGAAAUUUUUUUUAAAACUUAGGGAUGACCUUGCAAAUUCUCUUAGAUGGACAAAAUCUUCUAAGUUGCUUUCAAAUGUGACAAAUCAAAGAAACUACAACAAAAGGGGUUUAGGAAGCUUGAAUAGUACUCCUCCUUUGAAUACUCACAACAAAUAUGUUUUUGUGUCAGAUAAUUUGUUGUGUCAUUAUUGUGGUAGGAAUGGACAUUUAAAAAGGGAAUGUUCAGCCUGGAGAGAGUCACAUGAAAGAUUUUCAAAUUAUACAGAAAAGAAAAGGAUUUCAAAAGGGGGACCUGGUCCUGUCCAAAAGCCCUUGUCAAAAAGAGUCUACAAUUACCUCAAUGGGCAAGAAACACUUUGAUUACUCCUUUAUCUACCUUCUGGGAACUUAAAUUGAAAUAGCUUCCCAAGUCUAAUAAGUGAUUCUUGCUGCAGGUGAGUGAGAGGAGGAUCAGUCAAUGUUGGUAAAUGGAUAAUGGAUUCUCCAAACAUACGACUCGAUAUACAAAAAACUUCCUGUUGCUCAAGUUGCUUCAAGGUGGAGGUGUGUAUUUUGGUGAUGGAAAGAAGGGGUAUAUUUUAGGUGUUGAUAAAGUGAAAAAAUCUUGUGGAAUCCAUUGACAAUGUGUACCAUGUUAGUGGGCUGAAGUACAAAGGGAAUGAAGUAAAGUUUACAUCUGAGGAGUGCACUGUACUGAAUAUCACUACAAAGAAAGUGAUUCUCACAGCUCAAAGGUGUAAAAACAUGUAUGUGGAAAACUUAGAAACGUCUCGUGGAGAUGAUCUUACAUGUCUAAGUUCUCAAAAUGAAAAUAUUGAUGUGUGGCAUCAGAGACUAGGUCAUGUGAGCUCAUCUCUAUUGAAUAAGUUGAUAUCUAAGGACCUGAUACUAGAUCUGCCAAAGCUGAAAUUUUGUGAAAGUAAAAUCUGUGAAGCAUAUGUCGAAGGAAAACAUGCAGGUAACUCAGGUGGUGUAACUCAGGUGCAGGUACCAGUUUAACUCAAGGAAAACAUAUAGGUACCAGUGUAACUCAAGGACCUUGUAAAGGUACCUGGUCCAUGGUGUAGGAAACAAAGGAGUGUGUCUACUCGACAGGGGGAAGAAAUGCAGGUAUUGGUGUAUGGUUUGUCACCAUCAAAAAGGGGGAAAAUGCUAUAUUGAUAUUUUAAUGAGUUGAAAACUUCAAGAUGAUGAAACUCCAGUUACCCCAAGAAUUCUUGUUGAUAGGGGAACUGGUGAAUAUGCUUGUCAUCAUCAAAAAGGGGAAAAAUGUUAUUUGUAGUGUUGAUGAUUUGACAAACUGAGGGACCUUAUGAAGGAACCUGGUUCUUGGCUCAAUAUUCUUUUUGGCUGCCAGCUGGAGAAUGUACAAAAAGUUGGUGCACAAUCUCCAACAGUGGCAGACGCGCCAGAAUCCUCAGCCAAUGGGAUUGUUUUACGUUUUGUGACCUUUCUACUUAAACAAAACAUCCCCAUAUUCACAAUUAGUUUUUGCAACUUGAAAAAGCACAUACAAGAACUCUUUUAAAGGCCUAAAAAAUCAGGAAGAAUAAAUAUUCAACAACAACAGAAGCUCAAGUGAACAUUGUGUAGUUGUUUGGGAAUACUUUCUUUAGGUUUUACAUUGUAAACUGAUCCUAAAACUAUAAAGGAAUCAGUGUGGUUUGAUAUGAAAUUCUAAGUUAGUUAGUUGAACUAAUUUAGUGGGCAACCUUUGUGUUGCUUAGAAAAUUAUAAAUCAUUAGUAGGUAAGUGGCUUAAUGGGCAGUCUAUGAGAUUGCUUAGAAAAUUUUAAGUUGUCUAGAGUGAUAGCUUUGUGGGUAGAGUAACAUCUACUUAGGCUCAUCAAGCAAUAGAAUUAUUGCUCGUUGGUGAGAUUAAAAACUUUUUCUCACAUUUUGUGUAACCGAUUUCCUUUUGCUUUUGAAGAUUAGUAAAACGGUUGUGAAAAUCCUGCGAGACAGGUCGUGGUUUUACUCCCUUGAGCAAGGAAGUUUCCGCGUAAAAAUCCUCUAUUGUUAAACUGCAUUUAAUUUUUGCUAUAUCCUUAUUUGUGUGUCAAUGGUCCUGGUCCAUUGAAUGAUAGUGGAUACACAUAUUCUAACAGUGUACACGGUGCACAUACUAAAAAAUUAUUCCAUUACAUAUGACGUGCACGUUGUGGUUUUGAAUUUCUUACUACGGAAAAUGGAAGGAGAAGCUUUGAGGAAACACAUCAACUUUUUGUCGACUUUGCUCUCCUUUAUGGAAUCAAUGGUUUUUUUUGCUCAAUGCACAUCCUUACCAUAGAUGUAACACAAGCGAACAACAGUUUUGUAAAAGCAAUUCAAUUUCUGAGCACUCAUAACAAUUGAUCGCGACAUACUUGAGGUUGUUGAGUUGUAGGUCCAAGCAAGUAAUUGUGUCUGUCAAGGUCUUUUGAUACCGUUUUAGUAUUGUUACAAGAAGAAUAUACCUGAUGGUAUAAAAUAAAUAUAGAAUUAAUUAUAAUUUCUCGUGCUUACAUAGACAUACCACAUAAACCUAUCUUACUUAGUGGAUGCAUUCCAGGACAAAAAAACAUAGAGAGGAGCGGAACCGGUAUUCAAAUUGGCAGUCACAACUACAAAGAAGUACAUAUAUCAAGUUAUGAUUACAUUAUAAUUUUCUAUACUUAAAAAAAUCUGAAUUAUGCUCAAAUUGGGGCAACUCUUAAUCAACUGUAGAGCGCAAGUAGUCAGAUGUAGUUUUCUCAAGUCUAUUCCUAAUGAGAGCUUUUGCAAGCUCUCAAAAGGACCCCACUUAGAAAUUGUGUCAGCCGUCAAAAGCUUCAGAGCAACAAAAAAUAGAAUUACCUGAAUACAAAUCCUAUAAGAUAUACAAGUAUAACAAUAUGUCAUAUGCUUACCUCGUGGCAACUUAAACCAAUUUGGAGAAACUCAAGUGUAGCUGCUACGCUUAAAAGAAGCUUUCCCAAAAGUUGAUUUUUCGUCCUGUUUUGAAUUUGGAUCGCAAUCCAGCACUACGUCUAUUUCAAGUUGUAACUUUCUCAAGCCUUUGCAGCUCAUAAAGAGAUUUAGAUCGAGAAAGGGACAACCAUGAACAACCAAGUGUUCCAAUUGUGAUGAGACAACAAUGUUCAGGUAUUGAGUGCCACAACAGUCCACCAAGGCGAAAUUGACAAGAAUAGGAUAACUGAUAGCAUAAAACUCAGUGGUUCUUACAAAGGUUAUCUUUUGCAGACGAAGGUCUAUUAGAUGCUUGAAAGCAACAAAGGUCUUUGGUGGUUUAAACACUUAUAGAGUUCCAAAUGUGUCAGAGUUGGAAAAUUAAGUACACAGGACGACACUUUAUAAGUGCAAUUAUCUGGCAUGUAAAGGCAUAAAUCCUUCACACCUUUUCUAGUGACAUAAGCCAAUCAUCCAUCAGUAUGUGCAUAUAAAGACGAAUAUAUUGAUUUUACAAGAUGAAACUUCUCAAUAUCUCUAAGAUGUUGUAACAGAAUUGUAUUCACUCUUUCUUUGAAAAAUUGUUGAGUUGUUAAAUACAUCUAAAAGGCCCUGCUCAGCCACAGAUUUGGAAGCCUAGCCCGAAUGUAUCUCCAUUUUUUUGACAAAAUACUGGUUUUUGCUGUGUCUUCAACAAGGUGAAGCUCUAUGAUACGAUGCAUAACAUUUCCUGGCAGUUUACUGAUCCUAUCUUCUCUUUCCCCUUCACCAACAACUGUUUUAGCAUCUGCAAGGAGAAUGAAUAAUUUUAUGGCAUGUUUGGUUAAAUGUAUUGGAAAAAAUAAUCACAGUACUAGAGAGUACAUUUAUUGCGAAAAUUUAGUUAUACAUGGAUAACAUAUUUAACAUGACAAUAAUUUUUCUAAAUGCAUUCAAGUUUUUCAUAUAUUGCCAAAUAAAAUAAAAUCUCAUUGCAUCCACCAAACGAGAACACAUCUAUAUACAAUAAUUCCAAGACUUUUAUGAAAAAAACAAAUCACGUAAAUGUUGUCUCAAACAUGUUAUUUUUCUUAAAAAACUAACACUUGUAUGGUUAUUAUUUGUAAAUCCGCUAAAAACUUAUUUUAGUUGCUAUUGUAAGCAUUUUCAUUCCAAAACUCACAUUAGUUUCUUGAAUCAAUUAAAGUACAACAUAAAAGAUAUACAAAGGCAUCAAAUAGUAUAGAUAUUAUUUUACCAUCAUGGAUCUCGAUAAAAAUGAAGGUAUCAUUUUAAUUAGAAACUAAACCUUAAUGCAAUCGAAAGAACAUAAAUACUGGAAAUCAAUUAUUUCAUGCUGGUGUCACCACUUGCCUAAAUUGACUUCCAAUAGUUGCAUCUUUGUGCCAAAGUAUUCAAUUUUUUGAAGACUUAAUGCCGUUCAUUAUUUAUGAUUCUUGUUUCUCGCUUGAUGUUCGUAGCACAAAAAUGAAAACCCUACAAUUUUAAUGUGAAACAAAUUUGUAGACGUAUAUCACUCAGUUGGUUAUUAGAGAAUCAUACAGAUAUCACUCAAUUGGUUAUAUCCUUUUAUUGAAUUUGAUUCUCUCUCUCUUUCCUUUUCUUGACAUACAAAAAGUAUAAGAUGAACCAAUGUAGAGUUGAUUUGUUUGACUUUUUUGGUCCAACAACCUAUAUCUAUAUAUAAUAAUAAAAAUCUAAACAUAUACAAGAUGGUGUGACACUUUCCUAUGGCCAAUAAUAUUAUUUAUCUUUUUUUAAUCAUUUUUAAUUUUUUCUUCCUAAUAUGAUGUCUACAAAAUUUGUUAAAUUUUUGUUUCAAAUAUUUCUUGUUUAUUCCAUUCCUUAUUAUACAAGGUGAUGUGGCACAUCUUUAUAGCCAAUAUUACUAUUUAUUUUUUCUCUCAUUUUCUGGACUUCUUUCCUUAUAUGAUAUCUUGAAAAGCUAUUUAAAACACCUUAUUAUCGAGAAUAUCAUCUAUUUUCUUAUUAAGAGUAUCAUUUACUCAUUUCUGUAUUAAGAAUCUCAUUUAUUUCCUUUACACCCGCAAUCUUUCUCCACUCUCGAUGAGUAUCAAUAUACGGAUAUAUAUAUAUAUAUAUAUAUAUAUAUAUAUAUAUAUAGAAAGAGAGAGAGAGAGAGAUAGAGAUAGAGAGAUGUGACACUUUUUUACAACCAUCAUUGUUAUUUAUCUUUUUCUCACUUUUAAAUUUCUUUUCCUUAUAUAAUGUCUAGAAUAUUUGUUAAAAAAUUUAAAUACACCCUAUUUAUUUUAUUCCUUAUCAUUAAGAAUAUUUUAUUUCCUUAUUAAGAUAAUUGAUUAUUUAUUUUCUUGAUAAAAAUAUCAUUUACUUCCUUACACUCACGUUCUUUCGCCACUCCUAAUGUGUAUCAAUAUUUAGAGUAUGUUUGACAUUGUUGUUGGAAGGCCAAUAAAACUUCUUUUGGAAAAUAAGAUGUUGGAAAAAUCAAUAAAACUACUUUUAAGUGGAACCGGAACCAACUUCUCUUGUCAUAUCGCAUUUCUUGUGAUUUGGUUUUUAAUAAUGAAAUGACCAUUUUGUCCUUUCCUGCAGUGUUUCAUGCUUAGUUUGUAUUUCACGAAUGUUUGAUGUGGUUCCCGAUUCGAUCAAGUGUCUUUUUGGUGAUUUGACCCCUCUUGAGUUGAGAAUUCAUGAUAGGGUUGACCUCGGCCAACAUUUUGAGUUACGAGCGUCAGAUAGGAAUUUCGUUACUAACAUCGCGUAGAAACGUCGAGUUUGAGUUAGUAGGAUUGUCACGACCAGAGCCUACACCUUGGAUGUGGUGUCACGAUCCAAAUUCACAAGUCGUGAUGACACCUAUGUUCCCAACCAAUAGAUAAGUCAACUUUACAUAUUUUACCAAUUUAAACUAACUAAUAAUGUAAAAGGUAAACAACAAGUAAAAAUCUCCAACACUAAGUUCUUUAUAAAUACAAAAUGUGGAAGCUAAAUAUACCACCCAAGCAUUGGUGUCAUAAGUACAAGAGUUUCUAAAUAUGAUACAAACUAAUAACAAACCUAAACAUAAGAUAAACCGAAAAGGGCCUAAAAUACCCUUGAAGUAUCAUAAAUGGUACAAAAUUACCUUCCAUCCACCUAUUCACUCAAAAAUACCCUUUUCAUCCACCUAUUGACUCUAAAAUACCCUUCACAUCCACGUUUAGGCUCAAAAUUAACCACUUAUUUAACGAUUUUAAAUUUAAACUAUUUAAAUGUUUUUUAAUACACGGUGCUUAACUAUUUGCUAUAAUUUAACUUAUUAAUAUAAUUUGGUAGCCAUUCUACUACCCAACCAUUACUAAUUAGACCAUACACAAUUAAUAAAUUCGUCCCAUUAUUAAUAUACAACUGGAAAAUUACUACCAAUGAAUGUUUCUAAAAAUUUAAGGCGAAAAUGUCUAUAAAAGUAUAUUAUCAGACAUUCAAGUCGUCAAUCAACACAUAAUAUAAUUAAAAUGUCCAAAUAAAAAUUAUCGAUAAUCAUAAAAGUCUACUAUGUUCAUCUUAAUUAUUCUCUCGCCUCAAUUAUGUAAUGUUACUUAAUAGUAAUUUUUUUAAAAAUAAUAUAUUAAAGUUUUAAUAGUUAAAACAAAUAAUAAAUAUUUAUAAAAUUAUAUUUUAAAAAGUGCAUAAAUUAAAUUGAGAGGUGCUACUUCUUUACCUUUAAUCAUAAAUUUUGAAUUCAAGCUUGAAACAUAAUCCUAUUGAAAGUGUCCUCCUAAAUAAGAGGCUCAACCUAAAUUUAAUUGGGGAUUCAAUUUGGACUCAAAUAAUUUUGAAUGUCAUUUUCAGGAAUCGGUAAUUGUCAUGCUUUAGUAAUGUUUAUGGCGAUUUUGAUAUUAUAAAUGGUAUAUUAAUUGGUGGAGCUUGAUUAGUAAUGGGUGGGUAGUGGGUUGAUAUAUAAAUGAUAUAAAUAAAUUAAAUUAUAUCCAAUAAUUGAGAGCCAAAUAUUUUUAAAAAUAUUUAAAUAGUUUAAAUAUGAAACUGUUAAAUAAAUGGUCAAUUUUGAACCCAAAGGUGGAUGACAAGGGUAUUUUUGAGCCAAUAUGUGUGUGGAAAGGGUAUUUUGGAGCCAAUAGAUGGAUGGAGGGUAGUUUUGUACCAUUUCCAAUACUUCGAGGAUAUUUUAGGCCCUUUUUCGUAAGAUAAAUCUUGUCUGAAUGCUAAAACAACAGAAUAAAUAAAAGAUAUACGUGUACCUAGUAUAUCACAUAGACUUACAACAAAGAAGUAGUGACGAGAAUUUAUAUAUGAAAAAAACAAUUCUUUACUUAUACAAGUCUAUAUUACACUUACCAGUCAUGUUUCAUCAAUAAAGAAUCAAACUUCACGUAAUGUAUAACCACCAAUUAAAUACAUAAUCAACAAGAAUAAACAAUAUAAUGAGAUGCAAUGCAAUGUGACACCAUGAAAUGCUAUGCCUCAGAUGCCAAGCAGUAUCUCACCAUAUAUAUAUGAUACUCCUCGGAAUUACAUCGAGAGUUCAUGAUCCAUGGGGGACUUGUGAGGUCCAUAUACAGACAUAGACGAUCUCCACAUGUCUAUGCGGACGAUCUCAACGCACUAUCAUAAAAUCAAUAACUUCCACACGGACGGUCUCCACGUGCCUAAAUUAUAAUCUUAACAUCUCACUAUCCUCAGUACGGACGAUCUCCACGUGCUCGACUUAUACUCGAACUCAUGCCGAUGCAUGUGCCCAAUAUGAUUUCACAUAAAGGGGAUGAUGGUGCAUGUCAAUUAAUCAAAUAUAAAAAUAAUGCAUAACCACCUCAACUAUCACAACUAUACGAGUUCAAAUAAGAACACAAUCACACAUAAUAAAGUAUUCAUAUAUCAGCUAAUGCCCAUAUUCUUUGGCUUUCUCGAUUACAAUCCGCAUACUAUUGUAAUAAAUUUUCCCUUAAUAACAUGGUACUCGUACCAAUGCCCGUCGUACCAUUGAUACGAACCCCCCAUCUUUCGCCUGACCCAUUGUCUAUUCCACUUUUAGUCUUUUAAUUAGGAAAACGUUCUCCAACGAAGUCUGAAAGUCUUAACAUACCUUAAAUGCAUAACCCCUACCAUAAUUCUCAAGAUUUUUCCUUCCCCUUUCGCAAAGUUUCGGAACGUUCCCCAUCUACCAAUUAUGCAAUAUUCAUAAGUAACCAAAUUUGAUAGGCACUCACAUUACUUUACUUCUAACCUAAAAAAACUCAUCACGUUGCUAUAAUCAAGCUCCUAAUUUCGUGCUUAUUAAUAUGUCACAUCUUGUAUUCCAAAAUUUUAAGUCUAAGAUUAAGUCUAAAUUUAUAAAAUAUACCUUAUUCGUAUGUAAAAGGAUUCACUACACAUCCCACUAAAAGAAACAAUGGAUCUAAAAGCUGCUCACUGUUUCUGUACCAGCACUUUUUGUAUUAUUGCUAAGCUAGCAACAUAUUCACUUUUUUUAGUAUAAUGCUCAUUUAUGAAAAAUUUCUGUUAUAAUAAAACUCAAAUUCACAUAUAAGUUGAUCUGUGAAUAGCUUAGCAUAUGUGAACUCUGAAAUGAAGACAUCGACUAUGGAAUAAACACUAAAAAAAAUCUUAAAGUAUAUGCCUAAAUCUAUUGGACCAUCUCACACCAACAUUAAUGUUAAACAACUUCGGAGCAAUUAAUUUAUUUACAGAAUUUUAAUCCACAUGCAUUAUCCCACUCAAAUGAUCACAGUAGGAAUUAUCUCAUGACUAACCAUUAUUAACUGUAUAAAGAUUCUCACUAUAGUCAAAAAGAGUUCCAUAAAAAUCGAUAAUUUCCAACUAAAAUAGCAUUCCAAUUCCCUCCCAUUAAAUAGCAAUAAAAUUAAAGUAUACCCAGUAAACCACUAUUCAUAACUCAUAUUUAAACCAAUUGUUGAGAUAUUUAAUGCUUAAUAUUACUACAACAGUCAAUUGAAUGUGGUCGAUUGAGAUUAAGUUAUUGCCAUUUGAAGUGAUUCAAAACUUAAAAGAAUUAAGGAAUGACUAAAAUGAAUUAUCUUUUAUUCUUAGAGCUGUCAAUAUGGGCUAGCCCACCCAAUCCGAGCUAAUCCAUAUAGACUUUGACAUUUUACAGGUCAGGCCGAGCUAGCCCAAUUUUGCUUGGGCCAGAAAAUGGUAGGCCCAACCCAUAAGUACGUGCGCUACAGGCUUGACGUGCCAGCCCACUUUUCUUAAAAAAAUAUUUUUUAUAAUUAUUAAAUUAAAUUUUAAAUUAUAAUUUGAAAUAUUAUCAUAAAUAUCGACAAAACAAUAUUGCAUGAUGUUAAUGUUAGUACUUGUUUAUCAAAUCAAAAUAAAAUUAUUUUUUAAUAUUUAUUAUGGAUAAUUUCAGAGACCUCCAUGUUCGCUUUAUAACACUCAUCUCCCCUUUGGUUUAUGAUAUUACGUCUACCUCCCUUGUUUUCAUUUACUUGUAACCAUUCAUUAAACCUAUUUUAAAUAAAUAUAAAUUAAUAUAGAUUUGACAAUUUUACUCUUUUUUAUAUAAAUUUCUUCUUUUUAAAUAAAUUUAUAUAUAAAAAAAACUCAUUUAGAAUAUACUUUAAAAAUAAAUUAACACAAAGACUUGUUUUUUUAAUCCAACAACAAAGAUCAAAGUCUUCAACUAAGCUGACCCACAUUUUCACCAAAUAUCAACUCUUUAUCGCUAUUUCACCUUUACCAAUUCAUGUAAAUUUCCCCCCCCCCCACAAUAACCCAUCAUUUUCCGGCAAUAAUUUCUUAAAAUAUAAGACAAAAUUGAACUUCCUAAUUAAGAAAUUCGAUAAGAAUGAUAAGAUUUUGUUCUAGUUAAACAUUUGCACAAGCGAAGAAGAAACACGAUACAACGAAUAAAGAUAAAUAAUUGAAAAUUAGACCUAAACAUUCAUAGAUAAGGGUAAAUUUAUAAAAUCUAAAUUAAUUUAUAUUUAUUUAAAUAGGUUUAAAGAAUGUUUACAAGAAAAAGAAAAUAAGGGAGGUAGACGUAAUAUCGUAAACUACAGGGAGGGUGAGUGUUAUAGCGCGAAGCCUAGAGGGAGGUCUUUGAAAUUAUCUCUAUUUAUUAAGUUUUUUUAAAGUUAAAGUAUAAAUAUAUAAAUAAAAAUAUUAACCUAAUUAUUUUGAAUUUUAACUCUCUUUAAUUUUAAAUUUUUAUAUUAUAUUAUAUUUUUUAAUUAAUUAUUAUUGGCCCAGGGGCCGGCCCUACCUAUAUUUCUCAAGCCCAUCAAAUCAACAGGCUUAUUCAGGCCGGACUAAAAAGUCCUUUUCUUAGAUGGGCUCCAAAAAUCUUAGCCAAACCCUAUUAAAUCCCGGGAUUGGCCAGGACAACCUAACAGACAUAGCCCAUAUUGACGGAUCUAUCGAUUCUUUUUGAAACUCAAGAUGCUAUAUCUAGUGACCUGACAUUAAUAAUUAACAAAUUUUAAAUUCCUUGGUAAAGUCCUACUCACAAUGAAGGAUGAAUUGAGUCUUAGUUCAAAAAUAUUCUGGGGUGUUAUAAUAUCUUCCCUUUGGGAUCAUUCAUCCUCGAAUGACGGCUGGACUGGGUAUGGAACAAGAGAACUGUUAUCGUCUCUGCAAUACCAACUAGAUUUGCCUGCAUUACUAUUCGAAACCAUCUAAGGGAUCCGAUAUAGCUAUUUCUCAUAGUAACCUCAUUCUCUUCUUCCUACUCAUUUAUAACUUUAGACAUAAUUAUCACACCAAAAGAAUAGGCAGGGAGGUGUAAUGGGGUAAUAGAGAUCAAUCUUCUUCAGCAGCUCUGCCAAAUAGAGUUGUACCUAGAGUAGUCACUUUAGGGACAUAGUAAGGAGCAAAUCAUCUCUGUGUUAUCACCAGUCUCCAAGAGCAAGAGAAUUCACCAAAUGAUGUCACUAGUAUGGUAAAAGUCUUUAAUUUUGAUGUAUAUGCACUGCUAGAUCCAACUGCGAGUUUUUCUUUUGUGACUCCUUAUGUUGUGAUGAGGUUUGAUAUUAUUCCAAAACAACUUCUUGAACCUUUUAAUGUUUCUACACCUGUUGGUGAAUCUAUUAUAGCUGAGAGAGUUUAUCAUGAUUGUACCAUAUCUAUCAAUCACAAGGACACUAUAGUUGACUUAGUUGAGUUAGCCAUGGUAGAUUUGGAUAUUAUUCUAGGUAUGGACUGACUUUAUGCUUGUUAUGCCUCAGUUGAUAGUAGAACUCAACUAGUUAAGUUCUAGUUUCCUAAUGAUGCUAUAGAGUGGAGGAGUAGUUCAAUAAUUCCUAAGGUCAUUUUAUUUGGUUCCUUAAGGCGAGAAAGUUAGUUUCCGAGGGGUACAUCUAUCACUUAGUCCAAAAUAAUGACUCUAGUGUUGAGGCACCACAUAUUCAUUCAGUUCUAGUUGUGAGAUAGAUUCCAGAGGUCUUUCCAAAUGAUCUUUCCGAAGUCCCUCCUAAGAGAUAAAUGAACUUUGGUAAAGAUAUUCUUCUUGAUACUCAUCCCAUCUCUAUUCCGCCAUAUAGAAUGGCUCCAACUAAGUUGAAAAAGUUAAAAAAAUAGUUAAAAGACUUUUUGAGAAAGGUUUCAUUUGAUCAAGUGUCUCAUGUUAAGGAGCUCCAGUCUCAUUUGUGAGAAGAAAGAUGGUUCUCUUAGAAUGUAUAUUGAUUACCGACAAUAGAAAAGGUUACUAUAAAGAAUAAGUAUCCUAUUUGAGAAUUGAUGAUGUUUUUAAUAAUCUAUAGGGUGUACUUGUUUUUUCUAAGGUAGAUAUCAGAUUAGGCUAUCAUCAGUUGAGAGUAAGUGAGAAUGAUAUUCCAAAGACAACUUUUGGUUUGAUGAAUGUUACUGCACCGUUCAUGGGUCUUAUGAACAUAGUGUUUUGAGCCCCAUCUUGAUAUGUUUGUUAUCAUUUUCAUUGAUGACAUUCUUAUUUAUCAAAUAAUGAGAAGGAUCAUGCUAGUCAUUUCAGAUUUGUUCUCCAGUCUCUCCGAGAUAGAGAGUUGUAUGUCAAAUUUUAUAAGUGUGAGUUUUGGCUUGAGCUAGUGGUAUUCUUGGGCCACAUCUUUUCUGGUGAUGGGAUUCGAGUUGACUCUGAGAAGAUUGAAGCACUGUAUUGGCCUAGACCCAUAUCUCCAACUGAUAUUAAGAGUUUCUUCAAAUUGGAUGGUUACUAUAAGAGGUUAGUCGAGGGGUAUUCAUCUAUUCCAUACCCGUUGACUAACCUGACUUUGAUAAAAGUUAAGUUUUAAUGGUCUGAAGUUCGUGAGAAUAGCUUCCAAGAAUUAAAGACUAGGUUGACUACUUCCCAGUGUUAACCUUACCAGAAGGCACGCAAUGUUUUGUUGCUUAUUGUGAUGCGUUCAGAGUUGGAAUGGGUUGUGCAUUGAUGCAAAAUGGAAAAUUAAUAACUUAUGCCUCCAGACAGCUUAAGAUUCACGAGGACAAUUACCCAUACCAUGAUCUAGAGUUUGUUGUUGUAGUGUUCACUUUGAAAAUAUGGUGUCACUAUCUUAAUGGUGUUUGUAAAGAUGUGUUCACUGAUAAGAAGAUCCUUCAUAAUGUAUUCCGUCAGAAAGAGAUUAAUCUAAUACAUAUCAGGCGGUUUGAGUUACUCAAGGAUUAUGACAUGAGUAUUCUAUAUCAGUCAAGUGAGGCUAAUGUUGUCGUUGAUGCUUUGAACAUAUUGUCUAUUGGUAGUACCAUCCAUUUUGAGUAAGGCAAUAAAUAAUUAGUCAAAGAUGUGUACAUAUUUGCACGAUUCGGAGUCAAGUUAAUGGAUUAUAAUAAAGGAGGAAUGAUGCUGAUGAAUGGGGAUGAAUCAUCAUUAAUGUACGAAAUGAAAAAGAAAUAAGACCAAGACCUAAGUUUGCUUGAAUUGAAGGUAAAUGUUCAUAAUAAUAAAGUGAUGGCUUUUGAACAAGGGAAAAUAGAGUGUUGAAGUAUCAAGGUAAAUUGUAUGUACAAAAGGCACAUGAACUACAAGACAUGAUCAUGGAGGAAGCUCAGAGAUCCAAAUAUUAUAUUCAUCUUGGGUCCACAAAGAUGUAUCAUCACUUGAGAGAAGUCUAUUGGUGGAGUAGUAUGAAGAGGAUAUUUAAGAGUUCAUUUCUAAGUGCCCGAAUUUCCAAAUAUUCAAGGUAGAGCACUAGAGGUCCAGUGAUAUGGCUUAGAAUAUAAAUCUUGUGAAAUGGAAGUGGGAGCCGAUCAAUAUGGAUUUUAUUACUGGUUUACUAUGGUCUCCCAGGCAACAUGAAUCUAUUUGAGUGAUUGUAGAUCAAAUGAAUAAAUUGAAACACCUCAGAUCUCAAAAUGAAUAAAAUUCUACUUUUUAAAAAAAUCUCGUGACAGUACCAACGGAACCAUCCACGGAUCAUAGGUAGGACCACUAAUCAUAGGUGGGGUUCCGUCAUUAAUGACUAUAACCUUAUAGUCUCUGAUUCCACCACGGUCUACCAAUAUGGUCUAUGGUAGGACCUAAGGACCGUAGGUCUGACUGUAGGUGAGGGUGAAUAACCACUUAGAGGGAAUUUGUUAUUAGUCCAACUUCAAACUAUCACAACUCUUAGAACAAAAAGACUUAGGUAGAAAAUAACCUACCAAAUGAAAUAUAAUUGAAUCUUUUUUCCAACGCCGUCGAGUUUGAUAAAAUUUCAUCUCUGAUUAAAAGUUAUUCUCAUUUUAGUGAAGCCCUAUUGAGCAAACUUCACUGACGACCCUACCUAUGGCUGGUAAUUCAACCCAUGGACCAUAGGUACCUCUGUUGGUGGCCUUCGACAUAGUUAAGUCAGUCAUUUUAGUCAUUUUGUUUAUGUUUUGGUCACUUAAACUACAUCGUUUGAUCCUUAAACAACGUAGUUUUGGUCAGUUAAAGCCUAGUAACUUAGUCAGAUCUUUUGCUAAGUGAUGCCUUCACUAAAUAUUCAUCAAACUUAGAACAAAAGAGGAGAAAAGUGUCACCCUAAACCCUUCCAAAUGUAGAAGAUAUUCUCCAGUACCAGCCCCGAAAUCGAAAGAUUUCUUUGUGAAUUUCGUCACCAGGUUUGUGGAAUUUCACUAGUAGGUUCCUUUCAUCCACUAGGUCUCUAGAAUUCAGUCAGAUUCUUAACUCUUAUAUACUUUUUAGACCUUGGGUUUCUAUAACCUUAGAGAUUGAUUGUUAUUUAGCUGUUAUAGAAGUUCUAAUUGAAUUAUCAUGUUCUUGUGGAAUCAUUGCUUAGUUCUUUGCAUGAAACAUAGAAUCCUAGUUGUGUCGAUUAGUUAGUUCAUGAAUUAUACUAGCUAGGUCAGUUAAAUAGAUAUUUAUGCCUUAGAUUUUGAAUGUUUCAUUUCCAGUACAUUAAUGUUGCAUUGUUAUAUUUGCUUGUUCGAAUAUCGAGCUAUCUAGUGUUUCAUUUCUGUUGUGUUAUAUAUAUUUCAAGUUGGGAGUAAGCUUAGGACCAAGUUGGACUAGGGUUCACCAUAUCCUCAUAACCCUAGAACUACAUGCCCAAAGGAGCCUAAGUCCUCUCGGUGGGUAUCAAAUUUAGUGAUCACGCCGGUCAUGAAUUUAUACCCCAUGCAAGGUAUAUUGGGUCCACUAGAUGAGACAUAUACAUCGUACACCAAAGUUAGGUAGCGUGGUGGUUAUGUUCGUUAAUAGUAUCUCCUAUAGUCACUCUCUAGUGCAUUCGCCUAGGUUUUCAGUUUUACUUCAGUAUUAAGUCUCAUAAUGCUACAUACUUAGUCAUUGCAUUCAAUUUAGUUUUAUUCAGUAUGUAUAAGUGAUUCCAUUACGUUUAGAUUGCAUCAUUGCUUAGUUAUGCUUUGUUCAACUUUUAUCCUAUCACACAUGCUCAAUAUCUUUCAAUUACUUACUCACGCUUUGCGCUUUAUCUUUUCAUGAUUUAGGUUUAGGUCUUCUACAUACUCUACGCUAGAUCUCCCAAACAAAGUUAUUUUUAUAUCUUUACAUACAAACUGAGUUAUUAUUGUAUUUUAAAUACAUUGAGUUGUUUUCUACUAUUUUGAAAACUUUCUUUAUAUUGCAUCUCUAUUGUUGCUUUUUAUACUGAAAUGAGUUGAGUUGACGUGAGUUUGUUCUACUUUUUAUCAAUUUAAGCUUGCAAGUUAUGUUUAGUGUUUCCCUUUUAUGCUCGUUUAUUACGUGAACUGACAUCAUUUUACCUAUAUUCUUUAUGUGCAGAUAUGGAUAGCCAGGAUCAUCAACCAGUGGUUCGUUGAUCCAUUCAAGUUCCAGAUUAUGCUUGGUAAGCCUCCUUGCUUCCAAAGGAUUUCCAUUUACUUUUCAGUUUAGUUAGGAUGUUGCGGGUCUUGUAUCGACUUCCAUCAUAUCUAUUAGAGGCUUCCUAUAUAGUUCAUGAGUCUUUUCCAUUUCUUUGUUAAAUGCUUAAAAGACUUAAGUUGCCUAUUUCGGGCUAGUUGAGUACUCUAUUAUAUUCUGAGUUUGUUGUUUGAGACAUUUGAGUUAACAUUGUGUUUUUGAGUUUAUCUUAUGUCGAGUAUGUUGGCACGGGGCAUGACAUAUUUGACUUUAGUGCAUUGUUAGAAUGUUGUUGAUGACAUGAAUUGCAUUGUUUUUCCAUUCACAGUUUUUAGUAUGGUCUCCACUCAUGUAUUGGCAUAGUUACCACUCAUAAUGAGAUAUUAUUUCAUGAAAUUUUAUUGUGAAUUGGUUUUCACGAGAGUGAGUUAUACUACGUGGAUCACUUGAUUUACUAUUUUUUGAGAUUACGAAAGCGUUACGGAUGUACUUCUUUACUACUUUAAAUAUUAGAGGAAUCUGGAACGUGAUUAGUUUAAAUUUACCACCCUGCAUGUCGAUGCCCUUUCUUGCAUGAUUUGUUAUACUUAUGCCCCUAGGUUUACUCUUUCUAGUUGGGCAGCUAACGCCCCUGGCAGUUUACUGUCUGACUGGGCAACCUUGAUUUGUUAUACUUAUGCCCCCCGAUUCGCUCUUGUUAGUUGGAUGGCUUACACCCCAGACAAUUUACUGUACGGUUGAGAGGCCUUGAUUUGUUAUAUUUACACUCCUGAGUUUACUCUUGCUAGCUAGGUGGCUUACACCCCUAGAGUUUCCUGUCUUCUAGAAAGCCCAUUUACGGGAUUUCUUGUAGUAAAAGUUUAAGGAUGGUCUUACUACCCACCCUGCAUUCAUAUGAAUCACCUGUCACUUAUAUAGUUGUUUGUUAGUUUGUACCCUUUAGUUUAUGGACGUGGGUUGGGUUAUGGUCAUUGUUGUACCUUGCGGGCUUAUGGGGUCUGCUUAGGUUAUUCUUUGACUUUAUAAUGUUCUCGGUUAUUGUUUUCUUGUUAGACAAUAGGUUUUGACUUCAAAAUUAUGGGUGGGGGUCCUCCUGGCCUUGGAUAGGGCUUGGUAUCUUAGUUACUUGCAAAUAUAUGUUGUCUUGCAUUCUAGGUACGUUGUUGACUUGGCAUCAUAGUUGGUUGUGCAUAUAAAGUGUAUGAGAAUAUUCUAAAGUGGUUUAUACAUGUUAAAUUGUGUUAGGAUUUGGAUUUAUAUUAUGAUAAUAGAGAAAAGACAUAAAGGGACACCUAAAGUUGUCUCAAAUUUUUAAAAAGACACCUUGACUAUGCAAAUAUCCUAUUGCCCUCUAAACUAUUCCAAACAUAUAUUAUUACAUCAUAUUCGGAUCAAUUCCAGAUUUUAAAUGGCUAGUGUAAUCACACACCAUUAUUGUGUGACACGUGUUAAUUCAAUUUGAAAUAUUUAUUUUUAAAUUUUAAGUUUUUCUUUAUUUAUUUCUCUUACUUUUUGACUUAUUUUAGUUUUAUUAUUUUUAUUUCAAUUUUUAAUUCAUCUUCCACCCCAACUUUCAAACUCCCUCCAUUUUCUUUCUUUAUUUCUUUUUCUUCGCCUCUCAUCCUCACCCAACCCCACAUCCAUAUCAAGUUGAGCCCCUCCAUUUUCUUUCUCUUUUCUUCUUCUCAUUUGGUCACAUUUCUUACUUUCCAAAAUUAUACUAUUUUCUAGUCUUUGUUGAGUUAUUGAUAGCCAAACUAAUUAUUUUUCUAAGAAAGAUCAAAAUUUUGAAGGUAUCAUCAAUCAAUUUAUCUUAUUUCCAUAAAAAAUUCAAAAGGGAUAAUGCCCAAGUACCCCCUCAACCUAUUCCCGAAAUCUCAGAGACACACUUAUACUAUAUUAAGGUCCUAUUACCCACCUGAACUUAUUUUAUUAAUAAUAUUUUACCCCUUUUCGACCUACGUGGCACUAUCUUGUGUGCCCAACGAUGGUUGACUUUUUUUUUCAAACUAGUGCCACGUAGGCUAAAAAGGGGUAGAAAAUUACUUAUAAAAUAAGUUUAGGGAGGUAAUAGGACCUUAGUAUAGUAUAAGUGUGUCUCUGGGAUUUCGUGCAUAGGUUGAGGGGGUACUUGUGCAUUUUCACAAUUCAAAACUAGAAAUGAUAAUUUUGAAAGAAUUGGAAUUUUCCAAAAAUUGAAAAAGUUUGAUUAGAAUUUGGAUAAAAAACUAAAUAAUUCUACUAAUCAUCUUGAAAUCUAACGAGUUUAUCACAUUGUUUGAAAUGUAUUGAAAUAUCUAGAUAUAAUUUUAAAAUUGAAGAGAGUUAAACUAAUAGUAGAAUAAAAUAGCGAUGGGGUUGUGGUAAAAAGUGACAGUGAAAGUGAUAACUUAAUGAAGAUGACAAUGAGUUUUUGAAGAAGAAGGAAGAUAGAAAAAGAAAAAAAUAAUAAGAAGAAAAAGUUAAAAUAAUAAGAAAAAUAAAAAUCUAUAUUUUAUAUUAAAAUUAAUGUAAAAAUAAAAUUACGUUCGUUUUUUAAUUUGUUCACGCUUUUUAAGAGUGUAUACACUCUCCAUUCCAGGUGGACAAAAAAUGAUGUAAUAAUAUCAAUUCAGGAUUGUUUAGGGGGGUAAUAGGACACUUACAUAGUUUAAGUUUCUUUUUGAAAUAUCGGGACAACUUCAGGUGUCACUUUAUGUCUUUUCUUUAUGAUAAUAUUUUAUUUGUCAUAAGUUAUAAGUAUAUUUUACGAGUUUGCGAAUGCUCUAGAAGAUAUUGAAAUACCUUAAAAUUUAAAUUGAGGUUGUUAAACCUUUCUUGUACAUCAACAUGAGUUAGAAAUUAAAUAUUUUCUUACUGAUAAAUCUGAUAGUGAAAGGUAUUUUAUAAAGCAUUUCUAAAUUAGGAAAUAACAUAAUUGAACAAGAACAAAUUUAGAAAAUAUACAAACUAAAUAAAAAACAAUUACCUCAGAAACUAUCAUCAAUUUACACAUUAACUUACUAAACCAUAUAUCACAAAAGAAUGACACAAUAAAAACUUUUUCAAUAAUUUAGUAAAAUGAAUUUAACAAAAAUAUUAUGUCAAUGAAACAAAAAAGGAAUUACUAAAAAAAUAUGUCAAUGAAACAAAAAAGGAAUUACUAAAAAAAUAUGUCAAUGAAACAAAAAAGGAAUUGCUAAAUAAUAUGUCAUUGAAACGAAAAAGGAAUUUAAUUAAUAAUACGGUUUGUGUCAAAUCCUUCCAAAUAAGGAAUCAUUUUAAAUAUUUUUUAUUUUUUUGUUAUUUGAGUUAAUUUUAAUCAUACAAUAUGAUGGUUAUAUCUCUAUAAAUACAUAUUUAAAACAAAGGUUCAACAUCACAUUUUCUUACAUUCGCAAAUCAAAAGUUUAGACAUGAGAAGACCUAAUCACCGCAGAAGAAUUCAAACUGCGAGGAUGCAAAAUCAAACCAUCAGGCAAGUUGUAUUCUCAAAACGACGAUUUGGCCUAUUUAAGAAGGCAAGUGAGCUCUCUACUUUGUGUGGUGCUGAUGUUUCUAUUGUAGUAUAUUCUCCCACAAACAAACUAUAUUCAUUUUGGCAUGCUUUAGUCAAGUCAAUUGUGGAGAGAUUUCUCGAAGAGGAUCUUACACCUGGCAAUAAUGAUCCUAACCCCAUUAUUAUAGCUCAGCAAAAUGCUAAUGUUGAUUAGAUCAAUAGAAACCUGAACACAUUGGAGAGAGAACUUGCAAAAGAAAAUCUUAGCUUUUCUGGCUUGUGUGAGGCCUUAGAAGCUGCGGAUGAAGAAGUUGAAAGAGAAGUGAGCCAACUUUUGGAGGGUGAUGAGGUAUUCCCAUAUCAAACUAUUGGAAGUGCGUUCGCUCCUUUAAUAGUUAGGGAAAACACUUUGUUCGACUUUGGUGAAGGGUCAUAUCAAUUAAGUGAAUAAAUUUUGCUUGCUUUAUUCAAUGUUCAGUGACUUAAUUUAUUAUUUAUAGAGUUAAGUAUGUCAUUUCGAUGAUUAAGUUUUUAUAAUAUAUGAUUUUAAUUUAUCUUUGGGCAUGUUUAUGAUCAUGGAAUGGAAUAAGCUUUUAUUUUGGUACUUCAUUCGUUUGAAUUUCUUUGUCUUACUUUUUUAAUCGGCUUAAAACAAUGUAAUUUUACAAUACUUGGUUUAUAAUUUUCACAUGUCAUGUUUAAAACUGCAAGAAUGAAGAUCAUUUUGUUAUAUUUCACAUAUCUUUAAUUUAAGACCAUACGAUUCAACAAUUUUCUUUAUUGUUUUAUAUUUUAUGUCAAGUAACAAUCAGAUAAAUAAGUUAAAACAAAGGAAGGAUGUGAUAAUUUGUUUGUUGUUAACAUUGAUAUUGAUGUACAAGUGUGUAAAGCACAAGUAGAAAAUGAUUAUUGAACACGACAUUGUCAAUAGUUUGAAGUGCAACAACUAAUUUAAAAGAAAUGACGUUCUUAUUAUCUGUAUCUACAUUAACAUAUAACAAACAAUGUCACUUUACUAUGUUUUGGUAAAGUAAGGAUGACCUCCUUAUACUCUUUUUUUUUCAUUCGGUGUCCAGAGACAAUAUUAGAACUCCAGACUAAAUUUGGAUUGCGCUUUGCAGGGUCCUUUCGAAGCUGGUGUUCCCAACAGGAUUUUUCCACAUCCAGGGCUUGAAUCCAAGACCUCUGGUUUAUGGUGAAACACUUUCAUCAGUGCGCAAAAACCCAUAUCGAUCUCCUUACUUAUACUUAUUCAUAUUGAUAAAUUAUUAUUUUUUUCGUUAAUAAAAUGUCACUAGACGUAUUGUCUAGUGGUAUAUAUUGAUCAAAAAUAAAAUAAAAUAAAUAUAUCAUAAACAAUAUUAACUCAAACAAAGAAUUAAAAGCUCAUCAAAUCUUUAAAUGCCAACAUCACUCAAAUGAAAUAGCUUUAAUGCAAUAAUAAAUUUUGUUUCAUUAGAUUUCGCAUUGCUCUUUAUUCGCAUUUGUAAAUAAAGGGAAUAUGCCAAUAUUAACUUUCUAAUUAUGUGUUUUAAAAUAUUUUCUUACAUUAUAUUUCUUCACUAAUCAUUUAUUGGGAUGGAUAUCUUAUAUUACUGUUUUUGUUACAUAGUCAUAAAACAUGAUUUCAACCUGCUAAUUUUAUAAGACUUAGUGUCUAAAAUAAUGUAAAAUGUAAUCAAUAUUAUACUUUAAUUAUGAACAUCACACUUCGAAUAUUUAUAUUUUUACUAAGUAUAGUCAAUAAGAAUCAUAAAUUUAUAUAAAAGAGAACCUUAUGCUCGCCUAUGUGGCGCCACCAGAAACAAGAAUUCCCUUUUAGAUUUAUUUAUUUCCAAAACUAGACUUCCCUUUUCAUGAAAAGUUAUGACUUUUAUGAAAAGUUGUUACUUUUAGGGAAAAUGCACAAUUACCCCCUCAAUUUAUGCUCGAAAUUCCAGUCACACUUAUACUAUACUAAAAUCCUAUCCCCCCUGAACUUAUUUUAGAAGUAAUUUUCUACCCCUUUUCGUCCUAUGUGGCACUAAUUUGAAAAAAAAGUCAACCAUCAUUGGGCCCACAAGCGACUGAUGCGGACGCGGUUCUCUCGUCAUGAAAGAAGUAAUGAAAGGGAAGCCCGGGGUCAAAGCGCGUUCGUUGUUGCCUGUAUAGCUUUCUAGAGCAGAGAUCUAGCAACGCAUUCUAGGCACAGAUCAUUGGUAUUGGAUGUAUCGUUAGGUUGUGCCGAGUCAAAUCUGCUCCCUUUUUUUUCCGUUGCAGAAAAGAGAUCCCUUCCCCUCGCUUUCGAAAAUGAUGAAUAUGAAGUCCGAGAGGCUGCAGGUACUAUGGAUCCUCUGACACCCAAUCGGGUUGCUUUCCCAGGUCUCGCCGACGUAGGCCGAAAAGGGGUAGAAAAAUAUUAAUAAAAUAAGUUCAGGGGGUAAUAGUACCUUAGUAUAGUAUAAGUGUGUCUUUGAGAUUUCGGCCAUAGGUUGAGGGGGUACUUGUGCAUUAUCCCUUACUUUUAUGAAAAGUUGUGACUAUAUGAAAAGUUGUAACUUUUUUGAAGAGUUGUGACUUUUACGAAGAGUUGCAACUUUUAUGCAAAACUAUGAUUUUGUGAACGGUGGUGACCUUUCUAAAGGGUUGUAAGUUUUUCAAAGAGUUGUGUCCUUUCCUAUAAGACACAAUAAAUAUUUGUUCACACUACCCUAUAUUGUCUAUAUAAAUAGAUGAAUUUCUUGCUACUGUAAUAUGUAGGGGGUUUUCCCACUAUAGGGUAGUCAAAUUCAAAUACAUUAACUGAGUUUUUAUUAAGUUCAUUUCAUUCUUGAAAGUUUUCAUGGAGCUUAAUCUUUAUUAAGUCAAAGUUAUUCAUCUAACUAUGGUAAUUUUUUUCCUAUUUUGGCGACCUUUUUUUAAAAUAUAUUAAAGUGUCAGCAAGGAUGAUUUAAAAUUGAUCUUCUCUUUUAUCCCUUUCUGCAUGCAUCUACAUAUAAACAAAGCAAAUUGAUUUCAAUUGCAAUGCGACAUUACGACUCUUGAACCUCAUAGUGUACAACUCAUAACGUUGUUGAAAUGGUUGAUGGUUGAAUUCAUACAUUUGGUUCUUAAGUUCUUUCAUUAUUAUUUGUAUGGUUUUUUGAAUUCAAAUACAUUAAUUAUACUUCGCAUAAAGUGUUUCAUUUCUCAAAGUUUUCUUCCUCCUAUUUCAUGAAACUGAAAUUUUUAGUAUAAAUCAUAGUGAUUCAUGUACCGAUUGCAAUUUUUUUUUUGCUAUUUUGGUGACUUUUUUUUAAUUAUCUUGAAAAUUUCAAUGAGGAAGAUUGAAAAUUUAUCUUCUCUUUUUUCCCCUUUUACAGAGUUUCUUCAUGUAUUUUUGGGGAAAUUGUUCGUAGGUUGUGCUAUAUUUGAUAGCACACAACAAUAAAUAUUUGAUAACUAAUACAGAACCAACAAUGAAGUUUUUUUAAAAGAACCAAAAUGAUUGCUCUCUUACUUGCUACAGUUAGUAUAUUAUUUAGAUUGUUUUUUAUUAGGUACAAACAUUUUAUACGUCAUUGCACUAUUGGUAGAAUAUUUCUACAAAGAAAAUUUGUCCACAUAUUUUACUGCAAGUUAACUAAUUUGUUCAACUUCUUUUUCUCUCUUAUUUUCACCAUACUAAGAGAUCAAGUUUUUUUGAAAAUAACAAAUGUCCAAAAUACAGUACAGUAAAAAUAUUUUCUAUCGACAAUAAAUAUAUACAUUCACAAAAAGUGCUACAACCUUUAACGACAUUAAUUAAUUUUCAUUGAAUUCAAAGUUGUUAUAGAGUUUAGAGAUAUUUAUACAGAGUACCAAUUGCAUGUGAAAAAUACACAUUUAAUGAUAAUUAAGCUAUUAAUUAUUAUUAAAGAUCAUAUUUUGUAGUUAUAACUCAUUCUUUUGAUAAUCUUUUUUAAUUUUUGAUUAAGAAGUAAUAACUCUUUCUGGCUUCUUUCAAUUAAAUUUGUGAACUGUAAACUUGGAUACUACCCGAAAGACUAUCUUUUUGAAAAAUAUAUUAAGUACAUGCGUUUUUCUUCUUGAUUAUUAGGAAAGUGAAGGUCGUCUUUAUUAUUAUUUUUGGAUAUUUGUGUGUUCAAGUGAUCACAAAAUUAUGUUGUGAGAUUUUAAUAUGUUAUGUGUCAAAAUUUUAGUAUACCCCGUUGAAAACAUUCAGAUGUCACGUAGUACUUGGUUGAUAAUUGCAUUAAAUUUUUGUAGCUACAACCUAUAACUAUAACAAUAACUAUGUUUUAAUUCACAUAAGUAGGGGCCAGUGAUAUGAACCCUUAAAAAUAGUAAUGACUAUUUUGAGACAUUGCCAAAAAAAAUUAUGAUAAUAACAAUUUUAGGGUCAUUUUUAGCAUAUACUCGAUAUGUCAUACAAUAAUAAAAAAGAUAUUGAUUGAGGUUCAUAAAAGAGGAGUACAAGAUCGUCCAUUUGAAUUUAAUUAAUUAUGAUCUUGUAUGGAUGUGAUGUUCCCCUUUACUUGGGAGUGUUGUUUUUCAAUAUUUUCUGGUCUCUUUUUUAACUUCUAAUGUUUUUUUAUGACUUCUUAGAAUUUAUAAUUUUUUAUUACAUCUUACAAACUAUUUAGAGGGAGAUUUUCUUAGACUUCUUACUAAUACUUAAAAUUUAUCUAUGACUCAUAAUUUUGUAUGACAACUUUUUUUUACAAAAAUAUAGCACUUUAAGAUUUUAAAGAAACACUUUGUCGUAAGAUAAAAUGUUUUUGCCAAUUAUGUAUCAAAAUUACAAAUAUUAUCUAAUGAUAAUGUGUAAGCCUAAUAAAAUAGUUUAAUCUCGUGCGAAGCACGGGUAAUUUGCCUAGUAUUUAAUAAGUACAUAUUUUUGUGUAUCUAUUAUUUCAUAUGUAGAAGUCAUCGAUGAUAGAAAUUUUUAGUGAAAGUAAUAUAAAUUAUUAACCAUGCAAAUAUCUAAGGAUUAAAAAACAUCAAAUUAAUCCUAUGAUAAGUUUCAAGUUAAAAAGGCCUGAAAUAUGAAAUAGAGUGGGAAUAAUGUCUUUUUUUUUCAAUAGUUUGUUCAAUAGUCUAUUCAAGGAGUUAAUAAUGUUUUUCUUUCUUGUUUUAUAAUUUAAGUAAACCUGAGAAAUAGUGGUGUUUUUAUACAUUAAGCAAAGGUAAAUAAUAUUGGGAGUAGUACUGAGUACUGAUAUAAGAGAGAGUUUUGACAACUCACAGUCUCCAUAAAACCAUGUCUUACCAACAUGGGUACAUGAACAUAAGUUUUAGAUGAAUCCUUAGAGACUUCAGGCAUAGUUUAGUGGAUCCACUUAGUUGAGGUGUCAUAUAUUCUGACACGAUAUAAGAUAAUUCUGGAAGCGCGUGAACUAAACGUUGUAUCAUCACAUGACUCAUAGUAAUGGUUGUCAGUUAAAGAAUCUCCCAAUAGAGUUAAAGUGUAUUUUAUGUAUCACUUAUUAUGCUAACGUCCAAAGAUUGAGAAAGUAUAUUUGUAGAGUUUUAUGAUUUCACUUCAUUAUUUAUUUACAUUCAGUUGGAUAUAAAUCUACAUAUACUGCAACCCUUUCUUUCAAUACAUACUCGUACAUUCAAUAAAUUGAUGUCAUUCGACGUGCACAGUUUCAUUGAGAUCACUUUGUGCUUCAGACAACUUUGGUGAGUUUCCUUGCUUUUUAAUGGAUUUCACAAUUUAGUUUCAUGUUAUUGUUGAGUUGUUGUGGAUCUUGUCCCAACAUCUAUCCAAGUAUUAGAAGCUUCAUAGAUAGUUGGUGUUGAUGAGUCUCUCAGUAUUUCCCUUUUGUUUGAGACAUUUUGAGAUUGUUUUGCAAAGUAUUAUUAUUAAUGUACUUAAGUAUUUUUGGACAAUAUAGUGAAGUAUUUACUUAGUUUGAAUGUUAUAGAUUAUACUUUAAAAGAUUCUUAAUUUAUUCUUGAGUAAGUCUUCCGCAAAUAGUAAGUCAGGUCAAUGGUUCAUUUGGGGAUCAUAAAUGGUUUUCGAGUGUCGACCACAAACCAAGGUGUAGGCUCGGACCAUGACACGAAGUUCUUAUCCUUUCCACAGUCUGUAAACUGUUACAUGGACCUUGAAAUCUUCUUAUCCCGUUGAAGACAAAAUAUCCCAUUUUCAGAUCCUUCAUUCCACGAUAAGGUCUAUGAUUUGUGGAUCCUUACACGGUCUGUACAAACCUCUUUUAAAACCAUCCUUAAUUUCAUCUUCCCUAAGGUCCAAGGGUAUGGUCUACGGACCCAUCCACAGUAUGUAGAACCAUCCACAGGUUGUGCAUCUCAAUUUUCAUGUCAUUCCAAACAUAUCACUUUAUGAAGGUGUUUGGAUCUAUGGCUUGUGAACCCAUAUACCCGACCACGAUGUUAGACAAAUUAUCAAUUUCCUUAAUUAAUGUUUCUCUCUCAAGAACCUAUGCCACUGAACAAUUUUCGGGUUGUUGAGGCUCUGCCAUAUCAAGGUGGCCUACUAUUGUCAAUUGAGUUAUAUAGAGGACUUUAACAUGGAGGCCAAUAUGCAAGACAACAAAAGAGUUCUUACUCCUAUGUCCGUCUCUAAUGUUCUGAGUGUAGACCAAGUUGAUCUUAUUGCCCAUGGAUCUUUCUUAUGGACAAUUGUUGACAAGCUACAAUAUUUGUCCUUCACCAUACCUUACCUUGCCUUUGCAAAGAGUGAAGUGACGUGGACAGAAUUCCUUUCCAAAAGUUAAGUUUGUCCCCAUUUCACUAUUUUGAACCUUGAGAGCUCGGUAGAGGCAAUUUUAAAGAGGUUCUUUGAGAUUCGUAAAUUGGGUAGUUAUAUUUUUCUCCCCAUAUUCAUUACCCACCAACUCAUUAAUUUUGAAUUUAGGGCGUAUUUGGUAUGAAGGAAAAUGUUUUCCAUGAAGAAUAUUUUCCUAGAAAAUAUUUUUCUCGAAAACAAGUAGAAUUUUGACUUGUUUUCUAAUGUUUGGUUGGUGAGUAGAAAGUCUACAAAUAUGAUCCUAGGUUUAUUGCAAAAAGUUAGCUUAUUUUUUUGUGCGCAAGAGCAAGGGAAAAACAAUUCAUUUUAGGUUUUGAUCUUCUACUCUUUCUUAAAUUUUGAAGUGCAUGAAAAGAAUUGUAUUUGCUUUUUGAAUAUUAUGAGUGGCUACAACCCUUUGUUCUGGGGCUGUAGCUAUGGGUUAUUGUUGAACAUCGAUAUUUAUGGAUUAAUUUGUGUUAUCAUAUUAAUUAAUUUAGUAUUCUUAUUUUAGUAUUUCAUUAUAGGCCACCAUUGAUAUAAAUAUAUUGUAUAUUCUUGAACUCGAGAAACGAAUAUGCAGAUAGACCAAAGAAUAUAGAAGGCAUGAUAUUUCUUGCAUAUCACUUGUUUAGAUUCAUGUUAGGAUUGAUACUCGGAUGAACACUGGACUUGAUUAUGAUACAAGAUGGAAGAAAAUGAUCGUCAAUUGAGUGUAUUUAUCUCAGCUCAAUGAUGUAGUUAAACAUUCAAUGUGAAGAGGCGAUUAGAGGUCGAGAGAUCAUGAUCAUAACAUCAACCCUCUAACUCAGUAAUCUGAUAACUUUAAUUAAUUCAUACAUGAGAUGGGAUACAUAUAGCCUUAAGUAAGAUACAUCCCUGGAAUUCUUCAUUUAUUAGUUACUUUUAAAGUUGAGUUAUUUGCAUUAGUACUAUAGAAAACUAAGUUUCUUGAGAACACUUUUUUUAAUUUGUUGAAUUUGCAGAAUUGAUUUAAUUGAUCGUUUGUCCUUUGGGUUCGACAAUCUAGUUUUAGAAAGAGUCGUUAAUUACUUCUACGACCACAUAUACUUCUCUGUGCAUUUGAGAGCAGCACUAUUGAUCAGGUUGUUGAUAUCCUAACAAAGCCACUUCUACAUGAUUUUUCAAUCGUAUGUUUAACAAGUUGGGUAUUGUAGAUGUCAACACCAAUUUGUGGGGCCGUGAAAGAGAUAUACGUGAAUAAUUUUUAAUUAUGCCAUAGUUAUCUACUUGUACAACUGGGGCUAGUUGGUGUGUCGCUUUAGGUCUCAUUGUAGUAUCAACUCCUAUAUAAUCAUCUCGGUGUAUGACCAAAAUAUAAUUCAUCUCUCUCUAUCUAGUCUUAUUAAGUUCUUUUAAUUUCAAGUUGUAAAGUUAAAUAGAUUAUGUUGCUAGACUGGCGUGAUACAAUAUUCACAAUUUACACAUUUUAUUAUUAUUACAUUGUUUCAUAAUGCAUCAUAUCAUAUUCAAAUAUUAAUUAGUUUGUUGGAUCAAAAAAGAGAAACAAAUUCGUGUAUCGUUUUAAAAUUUUAUAAUAAACUAUUAAGUGUAUGAGAAUACGCUAACGUGGUUUAUACAUGUUAAAUUGUGUUGGGAUUUGGAUUUUCUUAUUACAGUAUUCUUCAACAUGUCAUAAGUUACAAUAUAUUUUACGAGUUGCAAAGGCUCUCGAACACAUAAAAAUAACUUAAAAUUUUAAAGUGAAGUUCUUAAACCUAAUUGUACGUCAAUAUAAGUUAGAAAUUCAAUAUUUUUAUAUUAUGAAGUUAAUAUUGGAAGGUAUUUAUUAAGCAUGUCUACAUUAGGAAAUAGAGAAAAGACAUAAAGUGACACAUGAAGUUGUCCUGAAUUUUCAAAAAGACACUUAAACUAUGCAAGCAUCCUAUUACCCCCUAAAUUACUCUGAAUUGAUAUUAUUACAUCUUUUUUUGUCCACCUGGCAUACAAAGUGUAUGCACUCUCUUAAAGAGCAUGAACAAACUAAAAAAACGAAUAUAAUUUUAUUUUUGCAAGUAUUUUGCUAUUAAAAACAUUUUCUUGUUUUUCUUAUUAUUUAAACUUUUUCUCCUUAUUAAUUUUAUCUUUUUCUUUCUUCUUCUUAAAAAAUUCAUUUUCAUCUUCAUUGAAACUUCUCAAUUUAAAUGUCUCUUGUUACCACAACUCUGUUUCCCCUUUUUACUACUAUUAAUUUAACUCUCUUCAAUCUUAAAACUAUAUCUAAAUAGUUUAUUACAUUUUAACAAUUUGAUAAACCCAUUAGAUUUCAAGAUGAUUAGUAGGUAUUAUUUAGUUUAUUUUAUCCAAAUUUUAAUUAAAAUUUUUCAAUUUUCGGAGAAUUAUGAUUCUUUCAAAAUAUUAUUUCUAGUUUUGAAGUUAUAUGAAAAUGAGAUAAAUUAAUGAGAUGAUUAGGAAGUAUUAUAUAGUUUUUUCUUAUACAAUUUCAAUGAAGUUCUUUCAAUUUUUGGGGGAUUAAUUGAUUCUUUUAAAAUUAUGAUUUCUUAUUUUGAAUUUAUAAGAAAAUGAGUAGUUCAUGAUUCUUCAAUAUUUUAAAUUUUCUUAGAAUAAUAAUUAAUUUUGUUAUCAAUAUUUUAGUAAAUUCUAAAUAAUAUAAUGAAUUCUAUAAAGAAUUUGACCGGAGAAGAAGAAGAAAAAGAAAAUAAAAAAAUGGGAGUGAGAUUUUAUUUGACAUGGGGGAUGGGAGGUGAAGAAAAAAAAAGAAAAUGGAGGGAUGAAUUACUUAAAAGUAAGAGGUAGAAGAUGAAAUGAAAUUUAAGAUAAAUCAAAAUUAAAAUUAAAGAGAGAGAGAGAGAGAUAGAGAGCGAGAGAGAGAGAUGAACUUUUUUUUACAUUAACACGUGUCAUGUUAUGAUUGGUGUGUGAACACACUUGUUUCUUAAAAUUUGGGCCUAAUAGAAAAAUGAUAUAAUAACAUAUGUUCAAAAUUGUUUAGUGGGUAAUAGGACAGUUACAAAGUUAUGAUGUCUUUUUAAAAAUUCGGGACAACUUCAAUGAUGACUUUAUGUUCUCUUAGGAAAUAUACAUAGUUGAACAAGAGAAAAGUAUACAACUACAAUUUUAAAAAACCUCAGCAACUAUCAUUAAUUUACAUAUAAACUUAGAAAAGAAUGACACAACAAAAACUUUUCCAAUAAUUCAAUAAAAUAAAUUAAUCUAAAAAGAAUUAUGUUAUUUGUAAUUUUUAUAGAUCGGAGUGACAAAGAUAGAAUGAAACAAAAAAGGAAGUUCAUAAUAUUAUGAUUUGGGUCAAAUCUUACUGAAUAAGGAAUCAUCAUAAAUGUUUUUACUCUUUUGUUAUUUGAGUUCAUUUUCAUCAAAUAAUAUGAUGAUUCUAUCGCCAUAAGUAUAUCAUUCAAACAAACACUCAACAUCACAGUUUCUUACAAUCUAUCAAAAGCUUAGUCAUGAGAAGACCUAAUGGCCAUAGAAAAAUUGAAAUUGCAUGGAAUCAAAAUCAAACCAACUUACAAGUAACAUUCUCAAUUAAUUGUGGUUAGAUUUCUCGGAGAAAAUCCUACACCCAACACUAAUGAUCCUAACCCAUCCUUGUAGAUCAUCAAAAUGUCAAUGUUAGUGAGAUCAACAAAAAACUGAAAAAGUUGGAGAGACAACUCGAAAUAAAAAGAAAACAUGGACAAGCACUUCAAGCAUUUAAGGACAAAACAUUCACAUAAAAAACUUAGCAUCUUUCACUUUAAAAUCCUGUGCGAGUCCUUGGAAGAUGUGGAUAAAGAAUUUGAAAUAUUAGCAAGACAACUCACGGAGUGUGGUAUUGAAUUUCCAUGUCAAACCAUUGGAAGUGAGCUUGCUCCUUUAAAAGUUAGGGAAAGCACUUCGUCCUAGAUCCAGUAAAUAGCAUAGUUGUGAUCAUCAAAAUACUUGCAUGUCAUGGGUUCAUAAUAUAACCAUUGAGAUAAUUAACUUAUAACAAAUUCAUGCAUUAUAAGAUCAGUCCGGAAGAAGAAUCUGAAAUUCCAUAAAAACUAAUAAGAAAUCAUGAAACCCUAAAAUUUGAUAGGAUAAUAAAUUAAGAAAUUAAGGUUUUUUUGGGACUCAAUGGGUGAAAAAGGACUUAGUGAUAAAGUUCCCACAUCGAAAUCCUAGGUAAAAUCCUUCAAUGAAGACUUGAGAUCAUGAAGCCCUGGAUUGCUUGAGGGAGAAGACUUGAGGGAGAGGGAAUUGGAAUUUGGGAGAAUAUAUGAGAGUAAAUGGGAUAGUUAGGGGUUUUACGUAUUAGUUAUAGUCUUCAAAAUAAUCCUGACUGGCGUAGUAUAAGUAUUGAAAGAGUGAGAAAAUACUCAAUUAAUCGUGAAAUAAAACUGUUGAAUAGGCUUAACAAGACAAUCUACGGACCGUAGAAUCCGUCUAUAGUAAUCAACUUAAAAUUCUAAGUUUCAGAACUCUAAACCACAAACCCCUUUUACGACCAUAAUGUCCACCCCUUUGUAUAACUCAUACUACCUUCCCGUAGAAGAUAAUGUACUAAAUAUCCCAAUUCUAAAGUCUUACUAUACAAGACCCAACUACAACUCGUGGUUCCUUUAGCGAACCGUACUAUUGGCUCGUACAUGACAUCCUGAUGUUAUGAAAUCUCAGGGAUUAUUUCCAUUAGCCUAUUCAUGACCCAUAUAAUAAUCUAUAAUAUGUAAUUUCUUCCCAACUGAUUAAGACACAUCUACAAUAUGUAAACCCAUGUAUUACCCGUAAACUUGCUUGUAUUCCCUGAGAAACUUAGCCUGAUUUCUAAAGCAUCAGCCAUGGAUGGUUUCCUCGAGCUGUAAUACAUUCUAUGAUCCAUAUCAUGAUUUCGUAAGUACCACAAAGCUAUAAACUUCAAUUAUUUUUCUGCACUUUCUAAAUUUUUUGAGUUAUGCACAUCCAAGGUAUUACACUUGGGGUGAUCGAGAUUGUUUUAAUCGUGGCGAGGUUGGCCACUACGUCAGAGAUUGCCCCAAAUGUAGGGUUGUAGCACCUACGAGUAGAGGCGAUGCUUAGGGACAAGGGUGGUCCCCCAAGUUCUUGAGGAAGUACUCAAGUAGGUAGAGCAGGAGAAAGAGUUGGACUCCACUUUUUGGAGGAUGUGGGCAUUUUUAUGUGGUUCCUGCAAGGUCGGAUUGUGAGGAUUUCGAUUAAGUGAUUUCAAGUACGAUCUCAAUUUUUUAUUGAUCGACCUUUACUUUAUUUGAUUCAAGAUGUACUUAUUCGUACGUAUAUGUUUAUUUCUCUCCGCGAUUAGAGUUGCAUUUUUGAGCCCUUGUAAAUGUUGCUGCCUGUAUCGACUCUCAUAUUGAUUCUUUAGGAGUGGAUCAGGUUUGUGACAAUUCAUAAGUGCAACACGCAAGCUGACCUUAUUUUUCCUUAUAUGCUUAAUUUUGAUGUUAUUCUGGGCAUAAACCGGUUAUCCUUCUUAUGUGCGGUCCUAGAGUGCUUUGGCAAGACUGUUAUCUUAGUGAUGCCUAGUAUUCCCCCGGUUGUUUGGCAAGGUCCUUGUAGCCGCCCAUCAACAGAGAUUACUUUAUAUGUUCGGGCUCAGAGCUUAGUAUCUAGCGGGGUUUCGUCUUAUUUUGCUUUUAUUGGUGAUUUUAGCAAGGAGGGACCUAUAACUGAUUUUGUUCCUGUUGUGAGAGAGUUUGUCGAUGUAUUUUCUAUUGACCUACUUGGCCUUCACCCUGAACGUGAUAUUGAUUUAUCUAUUAACCUUAACUCAAGCACUCAUUCUAUUUCUAUUCUACAGUCUUGUAUAGAACCUCUUAGCUUAAAGAGCUCAAUAUUCAGCUUCAAGAACUUUUGAGUAAGGGCUUUAUUAGAACGAUUGUCUCACCUUAGGGUGAUCACAUACUGUUUAUGAAGAAGAAGGAUGGGUCUAUGCGUAUGUGAAUCAAUUACAGUCAGCAAGAAUCAGUACCAUAUGCCUCGUUUCAAUGACUUGUUUGAUCAACUUCAGGGUGUCAUGGUGUUUUCAAAGAUUGAGUUGAUGAAAUGUUAUCAUCAACUAAGAAUUAGGGUAAAGGACAUCCACCUUUAGGUGUUUUAUUUACUGUGAAAGAAGUACUCUCUGGAUUACUAAAUCACCACAUAAGUGAUGAUAACUCAUAAGACUACAUUCAAAUACAACUUGACACUAAUACUUCAUCAAAAAAUUGGGCCAGUGCGUGCACGGUUAACAUCAUCUGGUAAAUGAAACAAAGAUCAAUAGAAAGUUCUCUGAAGGAUGUCAGAGUGAAGAUAGAAUCAUUUACCUGUCAUGCACAUCAAUGACUCUUUAUUUUCCUGCAGUAAGAUAUAAUAUAUUAUUCGGAGUUAUCAAUUUAUCAUUUAUUGCAACUAAAAUGCUAUCCCUCGAUAUAUAGUACUAUACAUGAUUCAAGGUAGCAAAUUGUAGGUUAAUUUUAACUCGUACAGUGUACCACCUUUAGUUGAUCAGCCUUGUUCUAGUAGCAGCAGUGGUCUGUAACAUUUCCAGUUGCUCAUCUCAGAUCAUCUACUCAUCUAAUAUUGAGAAACUCAACUGAUAUAUACAGAGUCAAAAAUGCAAGUCUUCUUGCUCGAAAAUUCUCCUAUCAUGAUGAUCUUUCUUCAGCUUUGAAAUCGUAACAACUUUAUAACAUCAUAAUGAAGGAGUAAAACCCUUGGGAUCAAAAUACACAGAGAUUCAGGCCUCUACAUAAGAACAACAUUACAUUUAAUAGAAGCACUAGAACAUGUCCAUGAAAGUAGAUUUAUUCUUGUGCAAACAUUUAAUAGUACAUUAUCAAUUUGGCUUUAUUGGCAUUUGAGUAUUUUUUUACUUUUACCAAAAUCAUCCUUAUAGUUUCACUUCAACUCUAGUUACAUUCUUAUAACAAAUAUUUCACUUAACAUGAAAUAUGCUUGAAAUUUUCAUAAAGUAAGCAGAAAGAUCCUUCUUUCUAUUUUUCAUCCAUUUUUGCAGGAGCUCAUAGCACUCCUUUUGCUUUCAUCCCUUUUUAGUGGCAAAAUUCUAUUGUAGGUUCCUCUUAUCUAGUGUUCUUCUCUCACCUCUCGUUUUCCUCCUUCAUAUAUCACAUCACUAAUCAGUCAAAACCCCUAAUGUCUUUUACUUGUGAUUUCUGCAGGACGUAAAUUUUCAAAUUGAGUUUCAACACCUUUUAAUUUUUUAUUUAUGUCUUGUGUUUUUUUAUUUAGUUGAAUAUUAUCUAAUUAUGAAUCGAGUCCUUGAUUAUCCAUGCCUCAAUUGAUUUCUUGUUCUCAAAAAAGUCUGGGGUAAUUAAUCUUGAAACAGAAUCUUCCCUAAACAGUGAUUACUCAAGGAAAAUCAAAGAUGGAUAGCCUAAGGAUAUGGGUGUCCAAAUCAAUGUUGUUCAUGUUUUGCUUCUUUCUGAGAAUAUUCUAAAGUGUUUUAUACAUGUUUAAAUUGUGUUAAGAUUUAUAUUUUCUAUUACGAUAUUCUUUAACUCGUCAUAAGUUACAAGUAUAUUUUAUGAGUUAGCAAAUGUGAGUCGUUUGUAUAACGGUAAAGGUAUAGAUGGACCACUUUAACAACAAGGAGCAUAUCAGCUCCAAAUGACGGUUAAGGGGUAUAUCAGACCCUUUUCCCCUUUUAAUAACCGAGAAAUCCACAUGUGACCCGACGCACUUUGGACCAAUCACAUUCUUCUAAGCUCGAUGGAUAAUGGACCCGCCCCUCUACUCUUCUCUAUGUAAAAAUUGGGCUUCGCUUUGCAUGGUGUGGGGCUCGAACCUGCGACCUAAUCCACAAAUCCUCCACAUUUUGCCACUUGAGCUAGGCCUUAGGGGCAUUUUAAAACUUUUUUAUACAUUAUUAUGAGUAAGAAGAUAAAUACUUUCAUAUUGUUAAAUCUAGUAGUGGAAAGUUUUUAAUUAAGCAUGUCUACAUUAGGAAAUAUACAUAGUUCAAUAAGAGCAAAUUUAGAAAAUUUACAAAUACAAUAAAAAAAAUUAUCCCAGAAACUGAUUUACUUAUUAACUUUGCUAAAUUUGAACAAAAAUUUAAUUAAUAUUAUGAUUUGGGUCAAAUCCUACCAAUUAAAGAAUACCAUCAUAAAUAUUUUUACUUUUUUGUUAUUGAAUUCAUUUUUCAUCAAAUAAUAUAGUGGUUCUAUCUUUAUAAAUACAUCUUUAAAACAAAGACUCAACAUCACAUUUUUUUACAUUCUCAAAUCAAAAGCUUAGCCAUGAGAAAACCUAAUGGCCGCAAAAAAAUUGAAAUUGCGAAGAUUCAAAAUCAAACCAACUUGCAAGUAACAUUAUCAAAAAGACGUGCCGGCCUAUUUAAAAAGGCAAGUGAGCUCUCGACUUUGUGUGGUGCUAAUGUUGCUAUUGUAGCUUUUUCUCCUAGCAACAAAGUAUACGCAUGUGGACACCCUUCCGUCGAGUCAAUUGUGGAUAAAUUUAUCGGAGAGAAUCCUCCACCUGAAACUGAUGAUCCUAACCCCAUCAUUGUAGCUCAUCAAAAUGCCAAUAUUGAUGAGCUCAAUAAAAAGCUGAACAAGUUUGAGAGAACACUCGAAAGAGAAAGAAAACAUGGGCAAGCACUUCAAGCAUUGAGGACAGAACCUUCAAAUGAAAAACUUAGUUUUUUUGAUCUUAACAUCUUGUGCGAGUCCUUGGAGGCUGCGGAUAAAAAAGUUGAAAAACUAGCAAGCCAACUUAUGGAGUGUGGUAUUGAAUUCCCAUAUAAAACCAUUGGAAGUGCGCUCGCUCCUUUAAGAGCUAGGGAAAGCACUUCGUCCGUUUCCGGCGAAGGGUCAUCUGGAUCCGGUGAAUAAGUUUUUCUUGCUUUAUUUAAAGUUCAAUAACAUAAUUUGGUAUUUAUUGAGUUAAGUAUUCCAUAUUGAUGAUUAAGUUUUGAUCUUAAUUUUAUCUUUUAGUAUGUUCAUCAUGAAAUGGAAUAAGCUUUUGUUUUGGUACUUCAUAAAUUUCUUUGUCUUGCUUUUUUGUGGUCCAUUUAAAAAAUAAUGUCCUUUUACAACCUUAGUUUAUAAUUUUUACAUAAUUUAUCCCCUCUGUUUUAGAGAAUCUACCCAGCAAUUUAACCUUCAGAUUGCUUCAAGACAAGCACCACUAAUCAACUACAGAAUGCCAUUAUAAGACUAAUGCCUGUUGCUAGGGCGACAAUGAGGGGCCUUCCUUCCCAUAACAAGCACUAUUAUAUAUAUUUAUAAGUGCAUACAAGUUACACUAUAGAAUGCACACAAAAAAAUUACAACACACCAACUAGGGAGAGAUUCACAUAAAAAAAUCAUGAUAUGAAAGAUAAACCACCUUAUAAUCAUCACUAACAAUAUCAUAUUCUAAACCAUACACUAGUUUUAGGAGGAAGAGCCCAAAAACCAGGAAAUUUAGGAAAUUAAAUAUAUUCCCUAUCAACCCAGCUACAGAAAUGUAUGAGCAGCUGAAAAUUAACCUUUAUUGAAAUGCUAUCGAGGAAUUCAUCGUCGAGGAUAAGUAUGAAGUUGGCCAUGCUAACUGAGUUUCUCUUUUUGUCUAUGGGCGUGGAGGUCUGAGAGAAAAUUGUGCCAGUGCUUUGAUAGGCAUUAUAUUUAGCUUUACAGGGAGGCGGUAGAGUAUUUCAAUUAUGACUUCUUCGGGUAGCUAUUUAGCUUUGCCUCAUUGCCAUUGUUGGAUUUUCGAGUGUAUUUCAAAGCGUCAAUCUAGUGAAAUUAUGUGCGCUGUAACAUUUUUUUUAACUUAUUUGACCUGAAACAAAAUCCUAAAAAAUAAUCUUUAUUUGUAUUUCAUGGCCAAACACAAUUAAAUAUUAUAAUAUUAUUUUUCAUGUUAAAAAAUAAAUUGUUAUUUGAAGAAUAGGGGAGUCAGUGAAAGAGGGAAAGUUGAAUAAAUUUGUUGUCAUUAAAAAGGGGGAAAAUGUUAUUUUUGAGUUGAUAUGAAGUUUUGAUAAUUUAACAAACUUCGAGUUCUAACAAGGAUUUUGUAAAAGGCCUUGAUCAAUCAGUUUGCUAUAAAUUGCAAAGGAUUGAGAAAGUUACAACUUGAAAUAGACAAAGUCUUAGAUUAUAAUCCAAAUCCAAAACAUGAUGAAAUGUAAACUUUAGAAAAUCUUCUUUUAAGCACCGCAACUACACUUGAGUUUCACCAAAUGGGCUUAAGUGUCCUUGAGGUAAGCAUUUGACAUGUCGUUAUACUUAUAUAUCUUAAAGUAAUUGUAUUCAUGCAAUUCUAAUUUUUGUUUCUCCUAAGCAUUAUGACUGCUGACACAAUUCCUAAGGGAUCUCCAUUUACGAGCAUGCAAGAGUUUUCAUUAGGAAUAGACUUUGGAAAACUGUGUCAGAUUACUUGUGUUCCACAGUUGAUUGAGAGUUGCCCCAAUUCGAGUAUACUUCAGAUUUGGGUAAGUAGUGGUAAAUUAUGUGGCCAUGAUAUGAGUAUGAUCUCAUUGAUUUUUUCACUCCUUAUAUAUACUGUGCAUAGCAUAGUACCGCAUUGGAUGUUGGUUACAACUGCAUCAACGUAAAACACUAUAUAUAAUGCUCCUAAAUUUCUUAGUGUAAACAUGUCAUUUUAAAUACUGGUUUCAGUACUUUCUAAAUUUCUUCUCCCGUUAUCUUAUGUAUUCCGUCAAACCUUUAACAUGAUAUGGAAUGCAUUCACUUAGUAAGACAGGUAUUUGUGGUAUAUAUACAUAUACGUAAGCACGAGAAGUUUUACCUUAUUCAGUAUUUGUUUAUAGGUAUGUGGUUUCAGCGACAAUGCUGAUGACACUUUUUUGAAACACCUGGACAGACCGAUUACCAUCUUGGAUCUACAAAUGAACUAGCUCAAGUAUGUGUGCCCGUAGCACGACAGAUGUCUGGUGCCCGCAGCAUAAUAGUCGUCUCACAAUGUGUGCUUGAGAGGCUCAUUGCAACGCGAUCAAAUAUCUUACUACUUGUAUGAGCUGGAAUCAUAAUUAGAAGAGUAUUAAUUUAAAAGUGGAUUUUAUGGGGCACACCUUGUUUUUUGUGCUGCAAACUAAAAUCUGCAGUAUAAUUGGAACUUAGAAACAGAGAUGUCCUAUGUCUUAAAUUCCAAUAGUGUCCACCAACAAGGCAAUAAUGUGAGGAUUCAAUACUUUUUCAGUAUGAGUGUAUCCAUCUGGUUGUGUUUGUAAAAAUGCGAUUAAGAUGAAGAAUACAAGUGAGAAUAUCUAUAGACACAGGAGUUGAGCAUAAAUUCUUCAUUUCAUUUGCAUCAGCAGUUCAAAGCAACCUUUUCUACUUUUCUCAUGAUUUUGUGUUUUUUAGGUGGAAAGAUGCAAAAUAUGUUGGGCAAGGAAAGAAGUUCCUCUGUUUGGUUUGUGUGUGGCUAUUAAAAGAUAUUAAACUCCAUUGGAAGUCGCUCUUCAAAUGUUGUAUCUUUGCUAAAACACUGGAAUCUAAUAUAUUGAUCCUUGCUUCCUGAAUGCAGAUUCUUGAUGCGCCUCUUAGAAACUCUAUAUUGAAGUGCCUCAUGUGUUUGCGUUGACUAGCCUACAGGCAAACUAAGUUUAUUUAACACUCCUUCCGCCUUUAUGAUUUUAUAUUUUUAAAAAAGACCAUAUCACACAAGUAUGAAUCGUGACUUCUAACAACACAUUGUCAUUUCUAAUCAAUAAAAGAAAAAUACAGAAUUUGAACAAAAACCAAAAGUGGUGGUUUAAUUGGAGCAGCCCAUCAGGCGUUAUUGGACUUAGGAGGGUACCGACUCGUUAUCCUUCCACUGCAUAGAGCGGGAACUGUUCGUUGCUCUGUGAAACCAGCCUCACGCAGUCCGUUCCACUUUAGGAACCCAUCAGCCCAUUCCUUCGAUUGGAUAGCAAGGCCCAACUCUAUGCUUGGACAGGGCAGGCCAUAAAUUAGCCCGCCAGGCCCAACCAUCUGGAACAGCCCAACAUUCCACCACACUAAUGCCCCACUUGGGUUACAAGCCCAUGUUACUAAGCUCGGCAAGCAGUAUUGCUUUAUAAAUUCAUAUAAACAAAAAAAGAUUACUAUUCAAUAACGAUGUGGGACACAUUUUGUCAAAGCAUAAAAUCUAAUUAGUGAAAUACUUACCAUCUUAAGAAAGUCAAAACAUGCAAUUAAUUCUUAAUUCUGCUCUUCAACUAAUAUGUAAAAACAUGAAAUCUAUUAGAGUGUUACAUGAAAAACAUCAGAGAUUAUGGUAGGAAAGGGUAGAAGUUAGAUUGAGAUUAGAUUUGAGUGUUACAUGAGAGAUUAUGGUGCAUCAACAAAAAAGUGGUAAUGGAAAAAUUUCAAGAAAUGACUCAGAUAUCGUGGAAGUAUUUAAUUGAAGGAAUUCUACAAAAUCUCUUCAAAGAUUCUCACUCAUAUUUUCAAUCUUACUCGCAUAAUUUAUGUAUCAAUUUUCUUUUAGCUAGACAAAUCUGAAAAUGGUGUGAAUGAAUAGUCUUAAGCAGUUUAAAUUCUCACCACAAGGAAAUGAAUUGUCAAAUAAUAGCAUGAAAAUGUCAGAAUAAGCACAAGACUAGACAUCAAAAUGUAAAAGCUAACCACUACACAAAAAAUUAUCAGCCAUUAAUUAACGACAAUAACUUAAUUACAGCUAAAUAUGUCCUGGAAAUCUAUAGCAACAUUAAAUCCAACUAUAUAUUAUUGGUAAAAACUUUAGUACUCUUUGCUAAUAUGAAUAUUUUUCGCCGCUAAAGUUGUUUUUAUUGUAGUUAACUCCCAAAAAUCUCAAGACUUGAUAAUUCUCAACCUUUUUCUUAUGAGUCCAUCUAAUAUUGUUCCGGCACAAAAGUACAAGUCGUGAUGACACUUAUAUAUGUUCCCAACCAAUAGGUAGGCUAAUUUAAUAUUAACUAAUUCAAUUCAAUAUAUAAAGUAGAAUGUAAGUGAAAACAAAAUAUCCAAACACUAAGUCUUUUAAAAUGAAAUGCGGAAAAAUAGAAAUACCACACAAGAUUGGUGUUAUAAGUACAAGAACUUCUACUAUACGAUAGAAGUCUGAAACUUAAAUGACAAGUCUAAAUGUAAGAAAAUUUGUGUAUAUUAUUUGUAGUUUUGAUGAUUUGACAAACUGAAUGAUCUUAUGAAGGAACCUGGUUCUUGGCUCAAUAUACUUUUUGGAUGCCAGCUGAAGAAUGUACAAAAGUUGGUGCACAGUCUCCAACAGUGGCAGAAGUGGGAGACGCGCCCGAAUCCUCAGCCAAUGUGAUUUUUUUAUGUUUUGUAACCUUUCUACAUACACAAAACAUCCCUAUAUUCACAAUUAGUUUUUGCAACUUGAAAAAACAUUCAAGAACUCUUGCAAAGGGCUAGAAAAUCAAGGAGAAGAAAUAUUCAACAACAACAGAAGCUCAAGUGAACAUUGUGUAGUUGUUUGGGAAUACUUUCUUUUGGUCUUACAUUGUAAACGGAUCCUAAAACUAUAAAGAAAUUAGUGUGGUUUGAUCUGAAAUUCUAAGUUAGUUAGUUGAACUGAUUUAGUGGGCAACCUUUGUGUUGCUUAGAAAAUGCUAAAUCAUUAGUAGGUUAGUGGUUUAGUGGGUAGUCUAUGAGAUCGCUUAGAAAAUUCUAAGUUGUCUAUAGUGAUAGCUUAGUGGGUAGAGUAACAUAUACUUAGGCUCAUCAAACAAUAGUGUUAUUGCUUGUUGGUGAGAUUAAAAACUUUUUCUCACAUUUUGUGUAAACGAUUUCCUUUUGCUUGUGAAGAUUAGUCAAACGCUUGUGAAAAACCUUUGAGACAUGUCAUGGUUUUACUCCCUUGAGUAAUGAGGUUUCCACGUUAAACUCCUCUGUUGUUAAACUGCAUUUACUUUCUACUAUAUCCUUUUUUGUGUGUCAAUGGACCUGGUCCAUUGACUGAUAGUGGACACACAAAUUUUAACAGGUGGUAUCAAGCGGGUACUCUCUAUUUGGUUAAUACCAAGAGAGUGAGUCCUGAUCUAGAAUGGCUUCUUCACUCAAUCUGGAAGUGGGUUAUUCUUCAAUUCGACCUCCUCAUUUCAAUGGCCACUUCUAUAGCUGGUGAAAAGUUAGAAUGCAUGACUUUCUUAUGGCUGAAGACAGUGAACUAUGAGACAUUGUCUUGGAUGGACCAUUCAUUCCCAUGAUUGAAGAGAAAGAUGGUGAAAUCACUAGGCUUUUUCCAAAGCCUAGACGCAAAUAUGAUGAAGCUGAUAGGAAAAAGAUUGAAAAUGGAUACAAAGCAAAGAAGCUUCUUGUCUGUGGUAUAAGACCUGAUGAGUUCAAUUGUGUCUCAGCUUGUGAAUCUUCAAAGGAGAUCCGAGAUUGCUUGAAAACAUCUCAUGAAGGAACGAAAAAGUAAAAGAGUCAAAGAUUGAUAUGCUUACCUCUUAGUAUGAAAAUUUCAAAAUUAGAGAAGGUGAAGCUAUUCAUGAGAUGUUCACAAAACUGUCAUCAAUCACAAAUGAGUUAAGAAGUGUUGGAGAACCUAUCAAUAUGAGCAAGAACGUCAGGAUAGUGCUUCGAAUUCUUCCCAAAUCUUGGGAAAGUAAAGUAGAUGCCAUCACUGAAGCUAAGGAUUUGAAAGUGUUAAUAAUGGAUGAGCUCAUUUGAAAUCUAAAGACCCAUGAAAUAAACCCAAGUUAUGAUCAGUGAAAGAAGGAAGUCAAGAAAGGUAAGUCCUUGAUGCUAAAAUACAGAUCUGAAGAGGACUCCAAUGAUGCUGAUCAUAUGUCCUAUAUUAUCAAGUGGUUUCAAAAGAUUAUGAGGAAAAACAAAGGUUUUAGAAAGGGAGCAAAUGUUCCACGAACUGCCACUCAAAAUGAUACCUGUUAAAAGUGUGGAAAGGCCGGACAUUUUAUAAGAGAGUGUCCCUUACUUAAAGCUGAAAACAAAGAAUAUCAAAGACCAAGAGGUGAUAAAGAAAAGCGCAGGGACAUGGUAAUCGAUAAAAAUGAUAGAAAAGUUGCUGCUGACUAUGUGGUAAAGAAAGCCCUUGCUGCAUGGGGUGAUUUUUUGAGCGAUUCAGAAGACCCUGAUGAACCAAAUGUUGUGUCAAUGGUGGUGCUUCAUGAGGAUAAAACCAUAUUCAGUGAGAUGUUUGAUUUCAUGGCUCAUUCAGAGAAUGAAGAUGAUGAGGAUAAGAUAACUCUUCUUGAUUUGAAACAUGAUCUGAAUACCUUUUCUCUUAAAAAAUUGAGAACAUUAGCAAAUGUUAUGAUUGAUUCAGUGAUUGAGUUAACUUCUUAAAGAGAUACCAUGAAUGCUGAGUUUGAAAGUUUAAAUGAAAACAGAGAUAAAAUGGUUGACAAAAUGUUGAAAAUUGAAGUCAAAAUGAUUGUUCUAGAAACCGAAAAACUAGAAAUCAAAAAUCAAUUGUAUCUGAUGACCGAGAAGUCUGAAAAACUGAAAGGAAGGUCUACUAGUUUACAUGUGGAGCUGGAGAAAAAAAAAUGAAAAACACUGCACUAACUUUGUAUUAGCCUUGGAAAAGAACAAAAGCUUAGAGAGAGAUUUUCUCAAACUUAAGGAUGACCUUGCAAAUUCUCUUAGAUGGACAAAAUCUUCUAAGUUGCUUUCAAAUGUGACAAAUCAAAGAAACUACAACAAAAGGGGUUUAGGAAGCUUGAAUAUUACUCCUCUUUUGAAUACUCACAGCAAAUAUGUUUUUGUGUCAGAUAAUUUGUUGUGUCUUUAUUGUGGUAGGAAUGGACAUUCAAAAAGGGAAUGUUCAGCGUGGAGAGAGUCACAUGAAAGAUUUUCAAAUUAUAUAGAAAAGAAAAGGAUUUCAAAAGGGGGAGCUGGUCCUGUCCAAAAGCCCUUGUCAAAAAGAGUCUAAAAUUAUCUCAAUGGGCAAGAAACACUUUGAUUACUCCUUUAUCUACCUUCUGGGAACUUAAAAUUGAAAUGGCUUCCCAAGUCUAAUAAGUGAUUCUUGCUGCAGGUGAGUGAGAGGAGGAUCAGUCAAUGUUGGUAAAUGGAUAAUGGAUUCUCUAAACAUACGACUGGAUAUACAAAAAACUUCCUGUUGCUCAAGGUGCUUCAAGGUGGAGGCGUGUAUUUUGGUGAUGGAAUGUAGGGGUAGAUUUUAGGUGUUGAUAAAGUGAAAAAAUCUUGAAGAAUCCAUUGACAAUGUGUACCAUGGUAGUGGGCUGAAGUACAAUCUUUUGAGUGUUUCUCAAAUUUGUGACAAAGGGAAUGAAGUAAAGUUUACAUCUGAGGAGUGCACUGUAGUAAAUAUCACUACAAAGAAAGUGAUUCUCACAGCACAAAGGUGUAAAAACAUGUAUGUGGCAAACUUAGAAACGUCUCGUGGAGAUGAUCUGACAUGUCUAAGUUCUCAAAAUGAAAAUGCUGAUGUGUGGCAUCAGAGACUAAGUCAUGUGAGCUCAUCUCUAUUGAAUAAGUUGAUAUCUAAGGACCUGAUACUAGGUCUGCCAAAGCUGAAAUUUUGUGAAAGUAAAAUCUGUGAAGCAUGUGUCGAAGGAAAACAUGCAGGUAACUCAGGUGGUGUAACUCAGGUGCAGGUACCAGUGUAACUCAAGGAAAACAUAUAGGUACCAGUGUAACUCAGGUGCAGGUACCAGUGUAACUCAAGGACCUUGUAAAGGUACCUGGUCCAUGGUGUAGGGAACAAAGGAGUGUGUCUACUCGACAGGGGAAAGAAAUGCAGGUAUUGGUGUAUGGUUUGUCAUCAUCAAAAAGGGGGAAAAUGCUAUAUUGAUAUUUUAAUGAGUUGAAAACUUCAAGAUGAUGAAACUCCAGUUACCCCAAGAAUUCUUGUUGAUAGGGGAACUGGUGAAUAUGCUUGUCAUCAUCAAAAAGGGGAAAAAUGUUAUUUGUAGUGUUGAUGAUUUGACAAACUGAGGGACCUUAUGAAGGAACCUGGUUCUUGGCUCAAUAUUCUUUUUGGCUGCCAGCUAGAGAAUGUACAAAAAGUUGGUGCACAAUCUCCAACAGUGGCAGACGCGCCAGAAUCCUCAGCCAAUGGGAUUGUUUUACGUUUUGUGACCUUUCUACUUAAACAAAACAUCCCCAUAUUCACAAUUAGUUUUUGCAACUUGAAAAAGCACAUACAAGAACUCUUUUAAAGGCCUAAAAAAUCAGGAAGAAUAAAUAUUCAACAACAACAGAAGCUCAAGUGAACAUUGUGUAGUUGUUUGGGAAUACUUUCUUUAGGUUUUACAUUGUAAACUGAUCCUAAAACUAUAAAGGAAUCAGUGUGGUUUGAUAUGAAAUUCUAAGUUAGUUAGUUGAACUAAUUUAGUGGGCAACCUUUGUGUUGCUUAGAAAAUUAUAAAUCAUUAGUAGGUAAGUGGUUUAAUAGGCAGUCUAUGAGAUUGCUUAGAAAAUAUUAAGUUGUCUAGAGUGAUAGCUUUGUGGGUAGAGUAACAUCUACUUAGGCUCAUCAAGCAAUAGAAUUAUUGCUUGUUGGUGAGAUUAAAAACUUUUUCUCACAUUUUGUGUAACCGAUUUCCUUUUGCUUUUGAAUAUUAGUGAAAUGGUUUGUGAAAAUCCUGUGAGACACAAGCGUACAACAGUUUUGUAAAAGCAAUUCAAUUUCUGAGCACUCAUAACAAUUGAUCGCGACAUACUUGAGGUUGUUGAGUUGUAGGUCCAAGCAAGUAAUUGUGUCUGUCAAGGUAUUUCGAUACCGUUUCAGUAUUGUUACAAGAAGAAUAUACCUGAUGGUAUAAAAUAAAUAUGGAAUCAAUUAUAACUUCUCGUGCUUACAUAGACAUACCACAUAAACCUAUCUUACUUAGUGCAUGCAUUCCAGGACAAAAAAACUUAGAGAGGAGCGGAACCGGUAUUCAAAUUGGCAGUCACAACUACAAAGAAGUACAUAUAUCCAGUUAUGAUUACAUUAUAGUUUUCUAUACUUACCAAAAUCUGAAUUAUGCUCAAAUUGGGGCAACUCUUAAUCAACUGUAGAGCGCAAUUAGUCUGAGGUAGUUUUCUCAAGUCUAUUCCUAAUGAGAGCUUUUGCAAGCUCUCAAAAAGACCCCACUUAGAAAUUGUGUCAGCCGUCAAAAGCUUAGAGCAACAAAAAAUAGAACUACAUUAAUACAGAUCCUAUAAGAUAUACAAGUAUAACAAUAUGUCAUAUGCUUACCUCGUGGCAACAUUAAACCAAUUUGGAGAAACUCAAGUGUAGCUGCUACGCUUAAAAGAAGCUUUCCCAAAAGUUGAUUUUUCGUCCUGUUUUGAAUUUGGAUCGCAAUCCAGCACUACGUCUAUUUCAAGUUGUAACUUUCUCAAGCCUUUGCAGCUCAUAAAGAGAUUUAGAUUGAGAAAGGGACAACCAUGAAUAACCAAGUGUUCCAAUUGUGAUGAGAGAACAAUGUUCAGGUAUUGAGUGCCACAACAGUCCACCAAGGCAAAAUUGACAAGAAUAGGAUAACUGAUAGCAAAAAACUCAGUGGUUCGUACAAAGGUUAUCUUUUGCAGACAAAGGUCUAUUAGAUGCUUGAAAGCAACAAAGGGCUUUGGUGGUUUAAACAAACACUUAUAGAUUUCCAAAUGUGGCAGAGUUGGACAAUUAAGUACACAGGACGACACUUUAUAAGUACAAUUAUCUGGCAUGUAAAGGCAUAAAUCCUUCACACCUUUUCUAGUGACAUAAACCAAUCAUCCAUCAGUAUGUGCAUAUAAAGACGAAUAUAUUGAUUUUACAAGAUGAAACUUCUCAAUAUCUCCAAGAUAUUGUAACAAAAUUGUAUUCACUCUUUCUCUGAAAAAUUGUUGAGUUGUUAAAUACAUCCAAAAGGCCCUGCUCAGCCACAGAUUUAGAAGCCUUGCCUGAAAGUAUCUCCAUUUUUGGACAAAAUACUGGUUUUUGCUGUGUCUUCAACAGGGUGAAGCUCUACGAUACGAUGCAUAACAUUUCCUGGCAGUUUACUGAUCCUAUCUUCUCUUUCCCCUCCACCAACAACUGUUUAAGCAUCUGCGAGGAGAAUGAAUAAUUUUAUGGCAUGUUUGGUUAAAUGUAUUGGAAAAAAUAAUCACAUACUAGAGAGUACAUUUAUUGUGAAAAUUUAGUUAUACAUGGAUAACAUAUUUAACAUGACGAUAAUUUUUCUAAAUGCAUUCAUGUUUUUCAUAUAUUGCCAAAUAAAAUAAAAUAUCAUUGCAUCCACCACACGAGAACACAUCUGAUCUAUAUACAAUAAUGCCAAGACUUUUAUGAAAAAACAAGUCACAUAAAUGUUGUCUCAAACAUGUUAUUUUUUGUAAAAAACUAACACUUGUAUGGUUAUUAUUUGUAAAUCCGCUAAAAACUUGUUUUAGUUGCUAUUUUAAGCAUUUUCAUUGCAAAACUCACAUUAGUUUCUUGAAUCAAUUAAAGUACAACAUAAAAGAUAUACAAAGGCAUAAAUAGUAUAGAUAUUAUUUUACCAUCAUGGAUCUCGAUAAAAAGAAAGGUUUCAUUUUAAUUAGAAACUAAACCUUAAUGCAAUUGAAAGAACAUAAAUACCGGAAAUCAAUUACUUCAUGUUGGUGUCAUCACCUGCCUAAAUUGACUUCCAUUAGUUGCAUCUUUGUGCCAAAGUAUUUAAUUUUUUGAAGACUUAAUGUCGUUCAUUAUUUAUGAUUCUUAUUUCUCGCUUGAUGUUCAUAGCACAAAAAUGAAAACCCUACAAUUUUAAUGUGAAACAAAUUUGUAGACGUAUAUCACUCAGUUUGUUAUUAGAGAGUCAUACUGAUAACGUAUUAUAAAAUCAAGAACAGUUCACCCAAAGAUUACAAAAGUUAAGGUGUACAUAUAUAAGUUAAUAUUCAUUAAUAGGACAUUCACCAGAUGCAUUGGAUUCAUAUAACACCAAGCACAUUUUCACCUAUUAUUUUUCUUUAUAUUAAUUUUCAAAUGCCCUUUUUCAAUUCUAAUUUUUCUUUUCUCUUCAAAUAUCAUCAAAUUCAUGCCCAAAAGCCCAAAAGAGGAAGAAGAGAGAAUGACAUAUACCUGGAGUCAUGCUAAUUCUUGAUGUUUGCAAAAGUUGUAUAUCCUUUUAUUGAAUUUGAUUUCUCUCUCUCUUUCCUUUUCUUGACACACAAAAAGUAUAAGAUGAUCCAAUGUAGAGUGGAUUUAUUUGACUUUUUUGGUCCAACAACCUAUAUCUAUAUAUAAUAAUAAAAAUCUAAACAUAUACAAGAUGGUGUGACACUUUCCUAUGGCCAAUAAUAUUAUUUCUUUUUUUUAAUCAUUUUUAAUUUUUUCUUCCUAAUAUGAUGUCUACAAAAUUUGUUAAAUUUUUGUUUCAAAUAUUUCUUGUUUAUUCCAUUCCUUAUUAUACAAGGUGAUGUGGCACAUCUUUAUAGCCAAUAUUACUAUUUAUUUUUUUUCUCAUUUUUUGGACUUCUUUCCUUAUAUGAUAUCUAGAAAAGCUGUUUAAAACACCUUAUUAUCAAGAAUAUCAUUUAUUUUCUUAUUAAGAGUAUCCUUUACUCAUUUCUCUAUUAAGAAUUUCAUUUAUUUACUUUACAUCCGCGAUCUUUCUCCACUCUCGAUGAGUAUCAAUAUACGGAUAUAUAUAUAUAUAUAUAUAUAUAUAUAAAGAGAGAGAGAGAGAGAGAGAGAUAGAGAGACGUGACACUUUUUUACAACCAUCAUUGUUAUUUAUCUUUUUCUCACUUUUGAAUUUCUUUUCCUUAUAUAAUGUCUAGAAAAUUUGUUAAAAAAUUUAAAUACACCCUAUUUAUUUUAUUCCUUAUCAUUAAGAAUAUUUUAUUUCCUUAUUAAGAUAAUUAAUUAUUUAUUUUCUUGAUAUAAAUAUCAUUUACUUCCUUACACUCACGUUCUUUCGCCACUCCUAAUGUGUAUCAAUAUUUAGAGUAUGUUUGACAUUGUUGUUGGAAGGCCAAUAACACUUCUUUUGGAAAAUAAGAUGUUCGACAAAUCAAUAAAACUACUUUUAAGUGGAACCGGAACCAACUUCUCUUGUCAUAUCACAUUUCUUGUUAUUUGGUUUUUAAUAAUGAAAUGACCUUUUUGUCCUUUUCUGCAGUGUUUCAUGCUUAGUUUGUAUUUCAGGAAUGUUUGAUGUGGUUCCCGAUUCGAUCAAGUGUCUUUUUGGUGAUUUGACCCCUCUUGAGUUGAGAAUUCAUGAUAGGGUUGACCUCGACCAACAUUUUGAGUUACGAGCGUCAGAUAGGAAUUUCGUUACUAACAUCACGUAGAAACGUCGAGUUUGAGUUAGUAGGAUUGUCACGACCCGAGCCUACACCUUGGAUGUGGUGUCACGAUCCAAAUUCACAAGUCGUGAUGACACCUAUGUUCCCAACCAAUAGAUAAGUCAACCCAACAUAUUUUACCAAUUUAAAUGAACUAAUAAUGUAAAAGGUAAACAACAAGUAAAAAUAUCCAACAUUAAGUUCUUUAUAAAUACAAAAUGUGGAAGCUAAAUAUACCACCCAAGCAUUGGUGUCAUAAGUACAAGAGCUUCUAAAUAUGAUACAAACUAAUAGCAAACCUAAACAUAAGAUAAACUGAAAAGGGCCUAAAAUACCCUUGAAGUAUCAUAAAUGGUACAAAAUCACCUUCCAUCCACCUAUUGACUCCAAAAUACCCUUUUCAUCCACCUAUUGACUCUAAAAUACCCUUCACAUCCACCUUCAGGCUCAAAAUUAACCACUUAUUUAACGAUUUUAAAUUUAAACUAUUUAAAUAUAUUUUAAUACACGGUGCUUAACUAUUUGUUAUAAUUUAACUUAUUAAUAUAAUUUGGUAACCAUUUUACUACCCAACCAUUACUAAUUAGACCAUACACAAUUAAUAAAUUCGUCCCAUUAUUAAUAUACAACAGGAAAAUUAAUACCAAUGAAUGUUUCUAAGAAUUUAAGGCGAAAAUGUCUAUAAAAGUAUAUUACCUUACAUUCAAGUCGUCAAUCAACACAUAAUAUAAUUAAAAUGUCCAAAUAAAAAUUACCGAUAAUCAUAAAAGUCUACUAUGUUCAUCUUAAUUAUUCUCUCGCCUCAAUUAUGUAAUGUUACUUAAUAGUAAUUUUUUUUAAAAUAAUAUAUUAAUGUUUUAAUAUUUAAAACAAAUAAUAAAUAUUUAUAAAAUUAUAUUUUUAAAAGUGCAUAAAUUAAUUUGAGAAGUUCAACUUCUUUACCUUUAAUCAUAAAUUUUGAAUUCAAGCUUGAAACAUAAUCCUAUUGAAAGUGUCCUCCUAAAUAAGCGGCUCAACCUAAAUUUAAUUGGGGAUUCAAUUUGGACUCAAAUAAUUUUGAAUUUCAUUUUCAUGAAUCGGUAAUUGUCAUGCUUUAGUAAUGUUUAAGGCGAUUUUGAUAUUAGAAAUGGUAUAUUAAUUGGUGGAUCUUGAUUAGUAAUGGGUGGGUAGUGGGUUGAUUUAUAAAUGAUAUUAAUAAAUUAAAUUAUAUCCAAUAAUUGAGCGCCAAAUAUUUUUAAAAAUAUUUAAAUAGUUUAAAUAUGAACUCGUUAAAUAAAUGACCAAUUUUGAACCCAAAGGUGGAUGACAAGGGUAUUUUUGAGCCAAUAGGUGGGUGGAAAGGGUAUUUUGGAGCCAAUAGAUGGAUGAAGGGUAGUUUUGUACCAUUUCCAAUACUUCAAGGAUAUUUUAGGCCCUUUUCCGUAAGAUAAAUCUUGUCUGAAUGCUAAAACAACAGAAUAAAUAAAAGAUAUACGUGUACCUAGUAUAUCACAUAGACUUACAACAAAGAAGUAGUGACGAGAAUUUAUAUAAUAAAAAAACAAUUCUUUACUUAUACAAGUCUGUAUUACACUUACCAGUCAAGUUUCAUCAAUAAAGAAUCAAACUUCACGUAAUGUGUAACCACCAAUAAAACACAUAAUCAACAAGAAUAAACAAUAUAAUGAGAUGCAAUGCAAUGUGACACCAUGAAAUGCUAUGCCUCAGAUGCCAAGUAGUAUCUCACCAUAUAUACAUGAUACUCCUCGGAAUUACAUCGAGAGUUCAUGAUCCAUGGGGGACUUGCGAGGUCCAUAUACGGACACGGACGAUCUCCACAUGUCUAUGCAGAUGAACUCAACGCACUAUCAUAAAAUCAAAUAACUUUCGCACGGACGGUCUCCACGUGCCCAAAUUAUAAUCUUAACAUCUCACUAUCCUCAGUACGGACAAUCUCCACGUGCUCGACUUAUACUCGACCUCAUGCCAAUGCAUGUGCACAAUAUGAUUUCACAUAAAGGGGAUAAUGGUGCAUGUUAAUUAAUCAAAUAUCAACAUAAUACAUAACCCCCUCAACUAUCACAACUAUACGAGUUCAAAUAAGAACACAAUCACACAUAAUAAAGUAGUCAUAUAUCAGCUAAUGCCCAUAUUCUUUGGCUUUCUCGAUUACAAUCCGCAUACUAUUGUUAUAAAUUUUCCCUUAAUAACAUGGUACUCGUACCAAUGCCCGUCGCACCAUUGAUACGAGACCCCGCAUCUUUCGCCUAACCCAUUGUCUAUUCCACUUUUAGUCUUUUAAUUAGGAAAACGUUCUCCAACGAAGUCUGAAAGUGUUAACAUACCUUAAAUGCAAAACCCCUUCCAUAAUUCUCAAGAUUUUUUCUUCCCCUUUCGCAAUGUUUCGGAACGUUCCCCAUCUACCAAUUAUGCAAUAUUCAUAAGUAACCAAAUUUGAUAGGCACUCAUAUUACUUUACUUCUAACCUAACAAAAACUCAUCACGUUGCUAUAAUCAAGCUCCUAAUUUCGUGCUUAUUAAUAUGUCACAUCUUGUAUUCCUAAAUUUUAAGUCUACGGUUAAGUCUAAAUUUAUAAAAUAUACCUUAUUCGUAUGUAAAAGGAUUCACAACACAUCCCAUUAUAUAACCCGAAUAUUCACUAUUUUUUUUAUCAAAGAAGUAAUUAUUCAAAAUAAUAAUUAUAAUACUAAAAGUAACAAUGGAUCUAAAAGCUGCUCACUGUUUCUGUACCAGCACUUUUUGUAUUAUUGCUAAGCUAACAACAUAUUCACUUUUUUUUAGUAUAAUGCUCAUUUAUAAAAAAUUUCUGUUGUAAUAAAACUCAAAUUCACAUAUAAGUUGAUCUGUGAAUGGCUUAGCAUAUUUGAACUUUGAAAUGAAGACAUCGACUAUGGAAUAAACACUAAAAAAAAUAUUAAAGUAUAUGCCUAAAUCUAUUGGACCAUCUCACACCAACAUUAAUGUUAAACAACUUCGGAGCAAUUAAUUUAUUUACAGAAUUUUAAUCCACAUGCAUUAUCCCACUCAAAUGAUUACAGUAGGAAUUAUCUCAUGACUAACCAUUAUUAAUGGUAUAAAGAUUCUCACUAUAGUCAAAAAGAGUUUCAUAAAAAUCGAUAAUUUCCAACUAAAAUAGCAUUCCAAUUCCCUCCCAUUAAAUAGCAAUAAAAUUAAAGUAUACCCAGUAACCCACUAUUCACAACUCCUCCUAUUUAAACCAAUUGUUGAGAUAUUUAAUGAUUAAUAUUACUACAACAGUCAAUUGAAUGUGGUCGAUUGAGAUUAAGUUAUUGCCAUUUGAAGUGAUUCAAAACUUAAAAAAAUUAAGGAAUGACUAAAAUGAAUUAUCUUUUAUUCUUAGAGCUGUCAAAUGGGCUAGCCCACCCAAUCCGAGCUAAUCCAUAUAGACUUUGACAUUUUAUAGGUCAGGCUGAGCUAGCCCAAUUUUGCGUGGGCCAGAAAAUAGUAGACCCAACCCACAAGUACGUGGGCUACAGGUUUGACGCGCCAGCCCACUUUUCUUAAAAAAAAAUAUUUUUUAUAAUUAUUAAAUUAAAUUUUAAAUUAUAAUUUGAAAUAUUAUCAUAAAUAUCGACAAAACAAUAUCGCAUGAUGUUAAUGUUAGUACUUAUUAAUCAAAUCAAAAUAAAAUUAUUUUUUAAAUAUUUAUUAGGAUAAUUUCAGAGACCUCAAUGUUCGCUUUAUAACACUCACCUCCCCUUUGGUUUACGAUAUUACGUCUACCUCCAUUGUUUUUAUUUACUUGUAACCAUUAAUUAAACCUAUUUAAAAUAAAUAUAAAUUAAUAUAGAUUUGACAAUUUUACUCUUUUUUAUAUAAAUUUCUUCUUAUUAAAUAAAUAUUAUAUAAAAAAAAAACUCAUUUACACAAUACUUUAAAAAUAAAUUAACACAAAGACUUGUUUUUUUAAUCCAACAAAGAUCAAAAUCUUCAACUAAGCUGACCCACAUUUUCACCAAAUAUCAACUCCUUAUCGCUAUUUAACCUUUACCAAUUCAUGUAAAUUUCCCCCCCCCCCCCCCACAAUAACCCAUCAUUUUCCGGCAAUAAUUUCUUCAAAUAGAAGACAAAAUUGGACUUCCUAAGAAAGAAAUUCGAUAAGAAUGAUAAGAUUUUGUUUUAGUUAAACAUUUGCACAAGCGAAGAAGAAACAUGAUCCAAUGAAUUAAGAUAAAUAAUUGAAAAUUAGACCUAAACAUUCAUAAAUAAGGGUAAAUUUAUCAAAUCUAAAUUAAUUUAUAUUUAUUUAAAUAGGUUUAAAGAAUGUUUACAAGAAAAUGAAAAUAAGGGAGGUAGACGUAAUAUCGUAAACUACAGGGAGGGUGAGUGUUAUAGAGCGAAGCCUAGAGGGAGGUCUUUGAAAUUAUCUCUAUUUAUUAGGUUUUUUUCAAGUUAAAGUAUAAAUAUAUAAAUAAAAAUAUUAACCUAAUUAUUUUGAAUUUUAACUCUCUUUAAUUUUAAAUUUUCAUAUUAUAUUAUAUUUUUUAUGUAAUAAGUAUUGGCCUAGGGGCCGGCCCUACCUAUAAUUCUCAAGCCCAUCAAAUCAACAGGCUUAUUCAGGCCGGACUAAAAAGCCCUUUUCUUAUAUGGGCUCCAAAAAUCUUAGCCAAAUCCUAUUAAAUCCCGGGAUAGGCCAGGACAACCCAACAGACCUAGCCCAUAUUGACGGUUCUAUUAAUUCUUUUUGAAAUUCAAGAUGCUAUAUCUAGUGACCUGACAUUAAUAAUUAAGAAAUUUUAAAUUCCUUGGUUAAGUCCUACUCACAAUGAAGGAUGAAUUAAGUCUUAGUUCAAAAAUCUUUUGGGGUGUUAUAAUAUCUUCCCCUUGGGAUCAUUCAUCCUCGAAUGACGGCUGGACUGGGUAUGGAACAAGAGAACUGUUAUCGUCUCUGCAAUACCAACUAGAGUUUGCCUGCAUUACUAUUCGAAACCAUCCAAGGGAUCUCAUAUAUCUAUUUCUCAUAGUAACCUCAUUAUCUUCUUCCUACUCAUUUAUAACUUUAGACAUAAGUAUCACACCAAAAGAAUAGGCAGGGAGGUGUAAUGGGGUAAUAGAGAUCAAUCUUCUUCAGCAGCUCUGCCAAAUAGAGUUGUACCUAGAGGAGUCACUUUAGGGACAUAGUAAAGAGAAAAUCGUCUUUGUGUUAUCACCAGUCUCCAAGAGCAAGAGAAUUCACCAAAUGAUGUCACUAGUAUGGUAAAAGUCUUUAAUUUUGAUGUAUUUGCACUGCUAGAUCAAACUGCGAGUUUUUAUUUUUUGACUCCUUAUGUUGUGAUGAGGUUUGAUAUUAUUCCCAAACAACUUCUUGAACCUUUUAAUGUUUCUACACCUAUUGGUGAAUCUAUUCUAGUUGAGAGAGUUUAUCAUGAUUGUACCAUAUCUAUCAAUCUCAAGGACACUAUAGCUGACUUAGUUGAGUUAGCCAUGGUAGAUUUGGAUAUUAUUCUAGGUAUGGACUAACUGUAUGCUUGUUAUGCCUCAGUUGAUAGUAGAACUCAAGUAGUUAAGUUCUAGUUUCCUAUUGAUGCUAUAGAGUGGAGGAGUAGUUCAAUAAUUCCAAAGGUCAUUUUAUUUGGUUCCUUAAGGCGAGAAAGUUAGUUUCCGAGGAGUACAUCUAUCACUUAGUCCGAAAUAAUGACUCUAGUGUUGAGACACCACAUAUUCAUUCACUUGUAGUUGUGAGUUAGAUUCUAGACGUCUUUCCAAAUGAUCUUUUUGAAGUCCCUCCUAAGAGAUAAAUGAACUUUGGUAAAUAUAUUCUUCCUGAUACUCAUCCCAUCUCUAUUCCGCCAUAUAGAAUGGAUCCAACUAAGUUGAAAAAGUUAAAAAAGUAGUUAAAAGACUUUUUGAGAAAGGUUUCAUUUGAUUGUCUCAUGUUAAGGAGCUCCAGUCUCAUUUGUGAGAAGAAAGAUGGUUCUCUUAGAAUGUAUAUUGAUUACCGACAAUAGAACAAGGUUACUAUAAAGAAUAAGUAUCCUAUUUGAGAAUUGAUGAUGUUUUUAAUGAGCUCUAGGGUGUACUUGUUUUUUUACGGUAGGUAUCAGAUUAGGCUAUCAUCGGUUGAGUGUAAGCGAGAAUGAUAUUCCAAAGACAACUUUUGGUUUGAUGAAUGUUACUGCACCGUUCAUGGGUCUUAUGAACAUAGUGUUUAAGCCCCAUCAUGAUAUGUUUGUUAUCAUUUUCAUUGAUGACAUUCUUAUUUAUCAAAAAAUGAGAAGGAUUAUGCUAGUAAUUUCAGAUUUGUUCUCCAAUCUCUCCGAGAUAGAGAGUUGUAUGUCAAAUUUUAUAAGUGUGAGUUUUGGCUUGAGCUAGUGGUAUUCUUGGGCCACAUCUUUUCUGGUGAUGGGAUUCGAGUUGACUCUCAGAAGAUUGAAGCACUGUAGAACUGGCCUAGACCCACAUCUCCAAUUGAUAUUAAGAGUUUCUUCGAAUUGGCUGGUUACUAUAAGAGGUUAGUCGAGGGGUUUUAAUCUAUUCCAUACCCGUUGACUAACCUGACUUUGAUAAAAGUUAAGUUUUAAUGGUCUGAAGCUCAUGAGAAAAGCUCCCAAGAAUUAAAGACUAGGUUGACUACUGCCCAGUGUUAACCUUACCAGAAGGCACGCAAGGUUUUGUUGCUUAUUGUGAUGCGUUCAGAGUUGGAAUGGGUUGUUCACUGAUGCAAAAUGGAAAAGUAAUAACUUAUGCUUCCAGACAGCUUAAGAUUCACGAGAAGAAUUACCCAUACCAUGAUCUAAAGUUUGUUGUUGUAGUGUUCACUUUGAAAAUAUGGUGUCACUAUUUUAAUGGUGUUUGUAUAGAUGUGUUCACCAAUCAGAAGAUCCCUCAUAAUGUAUUCCGUCAGAAAGAGAUUAAUCUAAUACAUAUCAGGUGGUUUGAGUUACUCAAGGAUUAUGACAUGAGUAUUCUAUAUCAGUCAAGUAAGGCUAAUGUUGUCAUUGAUGCUUUGAACAUAUUUUCUAUGGGUAGUACCAUCCAUUUUGAGGAACGCAAUAAAUAAUUAGUCAAAGAUGUGUACAUAUUUGCAUGACUAGGAGUCCAGUUAAUGGAUUAUAAUAAAGGAGGAAUGAUGCUGAUAAAUGGGGAUAAAUCAUCAUUAAUGUACGAAAUGAAAAAGAAAUAAGACCAAGACCUAAGUUUGCUUGAAUUGAAGGUAAAUGUUCAUAAUAAUAAAGUGAUGGCUUUUGAACAAGGGAAAAUAGAGUGUUGAAGUAUCAAGGUAAAUUGUAUGUACCAAAGGCACAUGAACUACAAGACAUGAUCAUGAAGGAAGCUCAGAGCUCCAAAUAUUAUAUUCAUCUUGGGUCCACAAAGAUGUAUCGUCACUUAAGAGAAGUCUAUUGGUGGAGUAGUAUGAAGAGGAUAUUUAAGAGUUCAUUGAUAAGUGCCUGAAUUUCCAAAAAUUCAAGGUAGAGCACUAAAGGUCCAGUGAUAUUGCUCAGAAUAUAAAUCUUCUAAAAUGGAAGUGGGAGCCGAUCAAUAUGGAUUUUAUUACUGGUUUACUAUGGUCUUCCAGGCAACAUGAUUCUAUUUGAGUGAUUGUAGAUCGAAUGACUAAAUAGUAACACCUCGGCUCUCAAAACGAAGAAAAUUCUACUUUUUAAAAAAUCUCGUGACAGUACCAACGGAACCAUCCACGGAUCAUAGGUAGGACCACUAAUCAUAGGUGGGGUUCCGUCAUUAAUGACUAAAACCUUAUAGUCUCUGAUUCCACCACGGUCUACCAAUAUGGUCUAUGGUAGGACCUAAGGACCGUAGGUCUGACUGUAGGUGAGGGUGAACAACCACUUAGAGGGAAUUUGUUAUUAGUCAAACUUCAAACUAUCAUAACUCUUAGCACAAAAAGACUUAGGAAGAAAAUAACCUAUCAAAUGAAAUACAAAAUGAAUCUUUUUACCAACGCCGUCGAGUUUGAUAAAAUUUCAUCUCUGUGUAAAAGUUAUUCUCAUUUUAGUGAAGCCCUAUUGAGCAAACUUCACUGACGGCCCUUACCUAUGGUUGGUAAUUCAACCCAUGGACCAUAGGUACAUCUGUUGGUGGCCUUCGACAUAAUUAAGUCAGUCAUUUUAGUCAUUUCGUUUAUGUUUUGGUCACUUAAACUACAUCUUUUUAUCCUUAAACAACGUAGUUUUGGUCAGUUAAAGCCUAGUAACAUAGUCAGAUCUUUUGCUAAGUGAUGCCUUCACUAAAUAUUCAUCAAACCUAGAACAAAAGAGGAGAAAAGUGUCACCCUAAACCCUUCCAAAUGUAGAAGAUAUUCUUCAGUACCAGCCCCGAGAUCGGAAGAUUUCUUUGUGAAUUUUGUCACCAGGUUUGUGGAAUUUCAGUAGUAGGUUCCUUUCAUCCACUAGGUCUCUAGAAUUCAGUCAGAUUCUGAAUUCCUAUAUACUUUUUAGACCUUGGGUUUCUAAAACCUUAGAGAUUGAUUGUUAUUAGCUGUUAAAGAAGUUCUAAUGGAAUUAUCAUGUUCUUGUGGAAUCAUUGCUUAGUUCUUUGCAUGAAACAUAGAAUCCUAGUUGUGUCGAUUAGUUAGUUCAUGAAUUAUACUAGAUAGGUCAGUUAAAUAGAUAUUUAUGCCUCAGAUUUUGAAUGUUUCAUUUCCAGUACAUUAAUGUUGCAUUGUUAUUUUAGCUUGUUCGAAUAUCGAGCUAUCUAGUAUUCAUUUCUGUUGUGUUAUAUAUAUUUCAAGUUGGGAGUAAGCUUACGACCGAGUUGGAAUAGGGUUCACCAUAUCCUCAUAACCCUAGAACUACAUGCCCAAAGGAGCCUAAGUCCUCUCGUUGGGUAACAAAAUUAGUGAUCACGCCAGUCAUGACUUUAUACCCCAUGCAAGGUAUAUUGGAUCCACUAGAUGAGACAUAUACAUCGUACACCAAAGUUAGGUAGUGUGGUGGUUAUGUUGGUUAAUAGUAUCUCCCAUAGUCACUCUCUAGUGCAUUCACCUAGGUUUUCAGUUUUACUUCAGUAUUAAGUCUCAUAAUGCCACCUACUUAGUCAUUGCAUUCAAUUUAGUUUUAUUCAGUAUAUAUAAGUGAUUCCAUUACGUUUAGAUUGCAUCAUUGCUUAGUUAUGCUUUGUUCAACUUUUAUCCUAUCACACAUGCUCAGUAUCUUUCAAUUACUUACUCACGUUCUGCGCUUUAUCUUUUCAUGAUUUAGGUUUAGGUCUUCUACAUACUCUACGCUACAUCUCCAAAACAAAGUUAUUUUUAUAUCUUUACAUACAAACUGAGUUAUUAUUGUAUUUUAAAUACAUUGAGUUGUUUUCUAUCGUUUUGAAAACUUUUUUUAUAUUGCAUCUCUAUUGUUGCUUUUUAUACUGAAAUAAGUUGAGUUGACGUGAGUUUGGUUUCCUUUUUAUCAGUUUAAGCUUGCAGGUUAUGUUUAGUGUUUCCCUUUUAUGCUCAUUUAUUCCAUGAACUGACAUCAUUUUACCUAUAUUCUUUAUGUACAGAUAUGGAUAACCAGGAUCAUCAACCAGUGGUUCGUUGAUCCAUUCAAGUUCCAGAUUAUGCUUGGUAAGCCUCCUUGCUUCCAAAGGAUUUCCAUUUACUUUUCAGUUUAGUUAGGAUGUUGCGGGUCUUGUAUCGACUUCCAUCAUAUCUAUUAGAGGCUUCAUAUAUAGUUCAUGAGUCUUUUCCAUUUCUUUGUUAAAUGCUUAAAAGACUUAAGUUGCCUAUUUCGGUCUAGUUGAGUACUCUAUUAUAUUCUGUGUUUGUUGUUUGAGACAUUUAAGUUAACAUUGUGUUUUUGAGUUUAUCGUACGUCGCUUAAGUCUGAUGCUAAGACUUGAGCAAGACCAAGGGUUCGCUUGGGUCCAACAAUGUUUCUCGAGUGUCGGCCACGUCCAGGAUGUAGGCACGGGGCAUUACAUAUUUGACUUCAGUGCAUUGUUAGAAUGUAGUUGAUGACAUGAAUUGCAUUGUUUUUCCAUUCACAGUUUUUUAGUAUGGUCUCCACUCAUGUAUUGGCAUAGUUACCACUCAUAAUGAGAUUUUAUUUCAUGAAAUUUUAUUCUGAAUUGGUUUUCACGAGAGUGAGUCAUACUACGUGGAUCACUUGAUUUACUAGUUUUUGAGAUUACGAAAGCGUUACAGAUGUACUUCUUUACUACUUUAAAUAUUGAAGGAAUCUGGAACGUAAUUAGUUUAACUUUACCACCCUGUAUGUCGAUUCCCUUUCUUGCAUGAUUUGUUAUACUUAUGCCCCUAGGUUUACUCUUUCUAGUUGGGCAGCUAACGCCCCAGGUAGUUUAGUGUCUGACUGGGCAACCUUGAUUUGUUAUACUUAUGCCCCCCAAUUCUCUCUUGUUAGUUAGAUGGCUUACACCCCAGACAAUUUACUGUACGGUUGAGAGGCCUUGAUUUGUUAUAUUUACACUCCUGAGUUUACUCUUGCUAGGUAGGUGACUUACACCCCUAGAGUUUCCUGUCUUCUAGAAAGCCCAUUUAUGGGAUUUCUUGUAGUAAAAGUUUAUGGAUGGUCUUACUACCCACCCUGCAUUCAUAUGAAUCACCUGUCACUUAUAUAGUUGUUUGUUAGUUUGUACCCUUCUUUUUAUAGACGUGGGUUGGGUUAUGGUCAUUGUUGUGCCUUGUGGGCUUAUGGGGUCUGCUUAGGUUAUUCUUUGACUUUAUAAUGUUCUCGUUUAUUGUUUUCUUGUUAGACAAUAGGUUUUGACUUCAAAAUUGUGGGUGGGGGUCCUCCUGGCCUUAGAUAGGGCUUGGUAUCUUAGUUACUUGCAAAUAUAUGUUGUCUUGCAUUCUAGGUACGUUGUUGACUUGGCAUCAUAGUUGUUUGUGCAUAUAAAGUGUCUGAGCAUAUUCUAAAGUGGUUUAUACAUGUUAAAUUGUGUUAGGAUUUGGAUUUAUAUUAUGAUAAUCGAGAAAAGACAUAAAGUGACACCUAAAGUUGUCUCGAAUUUUUAAAAAGACACCUUGACUAUGCAAAUAUCCUAUUGGCCCCUAAACUAUUCCAAACAUAUAUUAUUACAUCAUUUUCGAAUCAAUUCCAGAUUUUAAAGGGCAAGUGUAAUCACACACCAAUUAUUGUGUGACACGUGUUAAUUCAAUUUGAAAUAUUUUUUUUAAAUAUUAAGUUUUUCUUUAUUUAUUUCUUUUACUUUUUGACUUAUUUUAGUUUUAUUAUUUUUAUUUCAAUUUUUAAUUCAUCUUCCACCCCAACUUUCAAACUCCCUCUAUUUUCUUUCUUUAUUUCUUUUUCUUUGCCUCUCAUCCUCACCCAACCCCACAUCCAUAUCAAGUUGAGCUCCUCCAUUUUCUUUCUCUUUUCUUCUUCUCAUUUGGUCACAUUUCUUACUUUCCAAAAUUAUACUAUUUUCUAGACUUUGUUGAGUUAUUGAUAGCCAAAGUAAUUAUUUUUCUAAGAAAGAUCAAAAUUUUGAAGGUAUCAUCAAUCAAUUUAUCUUAAUUCCAUACAAAAUUCAAAAGGGAUAAUGCCCAAGUACCCCCUCAACCUAUUCCCGAAAUCUCAGAGACACACUUAUACUAUUUUAAGGUCCUAUUACUCCCCUGAACUUAUUUUAUUAAUUAUAUUUUACCCCUUUUCCACCUACGUGGCACUAUCUUGGGGGCCCAACGAUGGUUGACUUUUUUUUUUCAAACUAGGGCCACGUAGGCUGAAAAGGGGUAGAAAAUUACUUAUAAAAUAAGUUUAGGGAGGUAAUAGGACCUUAGUAUAGUAUAAGUGUGUCUCUGGGAUUUCGUGCAUAGGUUAAGGGGUACUUGUGCAUUUUCACAAUUCAAAACUAGAAAUGAUAAUUUUGAAAGCAUAAGAAUUAUCAAAAAAUUGAAAAAGUUCGAUUCGAAUUUGGAUAAAAAACUAAAUAAUUCUACUAAUCAUCUUGAAAUCUAAGGAGUUUAUCACAUUGUUCGAAAUGUAUUGAAAUAUCUAGAUAUAAUUUUAAAAUUAAAGAGAGUUAAACUAAUAGUAGAAUAAAAUAGCGAUGGGGUUGUGGUAAAAAGUGACAGUGAAAGUGAUAACUUAAUGAAGAUGACAAUGAGUUUUUGAAGAAGAAGGAAGAUAGAAAAAGAAAAAAAUAAUAAGGAGAAAAAGUUAAAAUAAUAAGAAAAAUAAAAAUCUAUAUUUUAUAUUAAAAUUAAUGUAAAAAUAAAAUUAUAUUCGUUUUUUAAUUUGUUCACGCUUUUUAAGAGUGCAUACACUCUCCAUUCCAGGUGGACAAAAAAUGAUGUUAUAAUAUCAGGUCAGGAUUGUUUAGGGGGGUAAUAGGACACUUACAUAGUUGAAGUUUCUUUUUGAAAUAUCGGGACAACUUCAGGUGUUACUUUAUGUCUUUUCUCUAUGAUAAUAUUUAAUUUGUCAUAAGUUAUAAGUAUAUUUUACGAGUUUGCGAAUUCUCUAGAAGAUAAUGAAAUACCUUAAAAUUUAAAUUGAAGUUAAACCUUUCUUGUACAUCAACAUGAGUUAGAAAUUAAAUAUUUUCUUACGGAUAAAUCUGUUAGUGAAAGGUAUUUUAUAAAGCAUUUCUAAAUUAGGAAAUAACAUAAUUGAACAAGAACAAAUUUAGAAAAUAUACAAACUAAAUAAAAAACAAUUACCUUAGAAAUUAUCAUCAAUUUACAGAUUAAAUUACUAAACCAUAUAUCACAAAAGAAUGACACAAUAAAAUUUUUUUCAAUAAUUUAGUAAAAUGAAUUUAACAAAAAUAUUAUGUCAAUGAAACAAAAAAGGAAUUACUAAAAAAAUAUGUCAAUGAAACAAAAAAGGAAUUAAUAAAUAAUAUGUCGUUGAAACAAAAAAGGAAUUUAAUUAAUAAUACGGUUUGUGUCAAAUCCUUCCAAAUAAGGAAUCAUUAUAACUUUUUUUUUGUUAUUUGAGUUAAUUUUCAUCAAACAAUAUGAUGGUUAUAUCUCUAUAAAUACAUCUUAAAAACAAAGUCUCAACAUCUUAUUUUCUUACAUUCUCAAAUCAAAAGUUUAGACAUGAGAAGACCUAAUCACCGUAGAAGAAUUCAAACUGCGAGGAUGCAAAAUCAAACCAGCAGGCAAGCUGUAUUCUCAAUACGACGUUUUGGCCUAUUUAAGAAGGCAAGUGAGCUCUAUUCUUUGUGUAGUGCUGAUGUUUCUAUUGUAGUAUAUUCUCCCAGAAACAAACUAUAUUCAUUUUGGCAUCCUUUCAGCAAGUCAAUUGUGGAGAGAUUUGUCGAAGAGGAUCUUACACCUGGCACUAAUGAUCCUAACCCCAUUAUUAUAGCUCUGCAAAAUGCUAAUGUUGAUUAGAUCAAUAGAAACGUGAACACAUUGGAGAGAGAACUUGCAAAAGAUAAUCUUAGCUUUUCUGGCCUUAAAAACUUGUGUGAGGCCUUAGAAGCUGCGGAUGAAGAAGUUGAAAGAGUAGUGAGCCAACUUUUGGAGGCAGAUGAGGUAUUCCCAUAUCAAACUAUUGGAAGUGCGCUCCCUCCUUUAAUAGUUAGGGAAAACACUUUGUUCGACUUUGGUGAAGGGUCAUAUCAAUUAAGUGAAUAGAUUUUGCUUGCUUUAUUCAAUGUUCAUUGACUUAAUUUAUUAUUUAUAGAGUUAAGUAUGUCAUUUCGAUGAUUAAGUUUUUAAAAUAUAUGAUUUUAAUUUAUCUUUGGGCAUGUUUAUGAUCAUGGAAUGGAAUAAGCUUUUAUUUUGGUACUUCAUUCGUUUAAAUUUCUUUGUCUUAAUUUUUUAAUCGGCUUAAAACAAUGUCUUUUUACAAUACUUGGUUUAUAAUUUUCACAUGUCAUGUUUAAAACAUCAAGAAUGAAGAUAAUUUUGUUAUAUUUCACAUAUCUUUAAUUUAAGACCAUACGAUUCAACAGUUUUCUUUAUUGUUUUAUAUUUUAUGUCAACUAACAAUCAGAUAAAUAAGUUAAAAGAAAGGAAGGAUGUGAUAAUUUGUUUGUUAUUAACAUUGAUAUUGAUGUACAAGUGUGUAAAGCACAAGUAGAAAAUGAUUAUUGAACACGACAUUGUCAAUAGUUUGAAGUGCAACAACUAAUUUAAAAGAAAUGACGUUCUUAUUAUCUGUAUCUAUAUUAACAAAUAACAAACAAUGUCACUUUACUAUGUUUUGGUAAAGUAAGGAUGACCUCCUUAUACUUUUUUUUUUCAUUCGGUGUCCAGAGCCUAUAUUAGAACUCCAGACUAAAUAUGGAUUGUGCUUUGCGGGGUCCUUUCGAAGCUGGUGUUCCCAAAAGGAUUUUUCCACAUCAAGGGCUUGAAUCCAAGACCUCUGGUUUAUGGUGAAACACUUUCAUCAGUGCGCAAAAACCCAUAUCGAUCUCCUUACUUAUACUUAUUCAUAUUGAUAAAUUAUUAUUUUUUUCGUUAAUAAAAUGUCACUAGACGUAUUGUCUAGCGGUAUAUAUUGAUCAAAAAUAAAAUAAAAUAAAAAGAUCAUAAACAAUAUUAACUCAAACAAAGAAUUAAAAGCUCAUCAAAUCUUUAAAUGCCAGCAUCACUCAAAUGAAAUAGCUUUAAUGCAAUAAUAUAUUUUGUUUCAUUAGAUUUCGCAUUGCUCUUUGUUCGCAUUUGAAAAUAAAGGGAAUAUGAUAGUAUUAACUUUCUAAUUAUGUGUUUUAAAAUAUUUUCUUACAUUAUAUUUCUUCACUAAUCAUUUAUUGGGAUGGAUAUCUUAUAUUACUGUUUUUGUUAAAUAGUCAUAAAACCUGAUUUCAACCUGCUAAUUUUAUGAGAUUUAGUGUCUAAAAUAAUGUAAAAUGUAAUCAAUAUUAUACUUUAAUUAUGAACAUCACACUUCGAAUAUUUAUAUUUUUACUAAGUAUAGUCAAUAAGAAUCAUAAAUUUAUAUAAAAGAGAACCUUAUGCUCGCCUAUGUGGCGUCACCAGAAACAAGAAUUCCCUUUAAAAUUUAUUUAUUUCCAAAACUAGCCUUCCCUUUUCAUGAAAAGUUAUGGCUUUUAUGAAAAGUUGUUACUUUUAGGGAAAAUGCACAAUUACCCCCUCAACUUUUGCUCGAAAUUCCACACACACUUAUACUAUACUAGAAUCCUAUUCCCCCUGAACUUAUUUUAGAAGUAAUUUUCUACCCCUUUUCGUCCUACGUGGCACUAACUUGAAAAAAAAGUCAACCAUCAUUGGGCCCACAAGAUAGUGCCACGUAGGCCAAAAAGGGGUAGAAAAAUAUUAAUAAAAUAAGUUCAGGGGGUAAUAGGUCCUUAGUAUAGUAUAAGUGUGUCUUUGAGAUUUCGGACAUAGGUUGAGGGGGUACUUGUGCAUUAUCCCUUACUUUUAUGAAAAGUUGUGACUAUAUGAAAAGUUGUAACUUUUUUGAAGAGUUGUGACAUUUACGAAGAGUUGCAACUUUUAUGAAAAACUAUGAUUUUGUGAACGGUAGUGACCUUUCUGAAGGGUUGUAAGUUUUUUAAAGAGUUGUGUCCUUUCCAAUAAGACACAAUAAAUAUUUGGUCACACUACCCUAUAUUGUCUAUAUAAAUAGAUGAAUUUCUUGCUACUUUAAUCUGUAGGGUGUUUUCCCACUAUAGGGUAGUCAAAUUCAAAUACAUUCUUGAAAGUUUUCAUGGAGCUUAAUCUUUAUUAAGUCAAAGUUAUUCAUCUAACUAUGGUAAUUUUUUUCUUAUUUUGGCGACCUUUUUUUAAAAUAUAUUAAAGUCUCAGCAAGGAUGAUUUAAAAUUGAUCUUCUCUUUUAUCCCUUUCUUCAUGCAUCUACAUAUAAAUAAAACAAGUUGAUUUCAAUUGCAAUGCGACAUUACGACUCUUGAACUUCAUAGUAUACAACUCAUAACGCUGUUGAAAUGGUUGAUAGUUGAAUUCAUACAUUUGGUUCUUAAGUAAAAAAAUCUUCUAUUUCUUUCAUUAUUAUUUGUAUGGUUUUUUGAAUUCAAAUACAUUAAUUAUGCUUCGCAUAAAGUGUUUCUUUUCUCAAAGUUUUCUUCCUCCUAUUUCAUGAAACUGAAAUUUUUAGUAUAAAUCAUAGUUAUUCAUGUACCAAUUGCAAAUUUUUUUUUUUGCUAUUUUGGUGACUUUUUUUUUCAUUAUCUUGAAAAUUUCAAUGAGGAAGAUUGAAAAUUUAUCUUCUCUUUUUUCCCCUUUUACAGAGUUUCUUCAUGUAUCUUUGGGGAAAUUGUUCGUAGGUUGUGCUAUAUUUGAUAGCACACAACAAUAGAUAUUUGAUAACUAAUACCGAACCAACAAUGAAGUGUUUUUAAAAGAACCAAAAUGAUUGCUCUCUUACUUGCUACAGUUAGUUUAUUAUUUAGAUUGUUUUUUCUUAGCUACAAACAUUUUAUAUGUCAUUGCACUAUUGGUAGAAUAUUUCUAUAAAGAAAAUUUGUCCACAUAUUUUACUGCAAUUUAACUAAUUUGUUCAACUUCUUUUUCUCUCUUAUUUUCACCAUACUAAGAGAUCAAGUUUUCGUGAAACUAACAAAUGUCCAAAAUACACUAUAGUAAAAAUAUUUUCUAUCGACAAUAAAUAUGUACAUUCACAAAAAGUACUACAACCUUUAACGACAUAAAUUAAUUUUCAUUGAAUUGAAUGUUGUUAUAGACUUUAGAGAUAUUUAUACAGAGUACCAAUUGCAUGUGAAAAAUAGAUAUUUAAUGAUAAUUAAGCUAUUAAUUAUCAUUAAAGAUCAUAUUUGUUAUUUAUAACUCAUUCUUUUGAUAAUCUUUUUUAAUUUUUGAUUAAGAAGUAAUAACUCUUUCUGGCUUUUUUCAAUUAAAUUUGUGAACUGUAAACUUGGAUACUACCCGAAAGACUAUCUUUUUGAAAAAUAUAUUAAGUAUAUGCGUUUUUCUUCUUGAUUAUUAGGAAAGUGAAGGUCGUCUUUAUUGUUAUUUUUGGAUAUUUGUGUGUUCAAGUGAUCACAAAAUUAUGUUGUGAGAUUUUAAUAUGUUAUGUGUCAAAAUUUUAGUAUAUCCCGUUGAAAACAUUCAGAUGUCACCUAGUACUUGGUUGAUAAUUGCAUUAAAUUUUUGUAACUACAACCUAUAACUAUAACAAUAAAUAUGUUUUACUUCACAUAAGUAGGCGCCAGUGAUAUGAAACCUUAAAAAUAGUAAUGACUAUUUUGAGACAUUGCCAAAAAAAUUUAUGAUAAUAACAAUUUUAGGGUCAUUUUUAGCAUAUACUCGAUAUGUCAUACAAUAAUAAAAAAAAGAUUGAUUGAGGUUCAUAAAAAAGGAGUCCAAGAUCGUCCAUUUGAAUUUAAUUAAUUAUGAUCUUGUAUGGAUGUGAUGUUCCCCUUUACUUGGGAGUGUUGUUUUUCAAUAUUUUCUGGUCUCUUUUUUAACUUCUAAUGUUUUUUUAUGACUUCUUAGAAUUUAUAAUUUUUUAUUACAUCUUACCAACUAUUUAGAGGGAGAUUUUCUUAGACUUCUUACUAAUACUUAAAAUUUAUCUAUGACUCAUUAUUUUGUAUGACAACUUUUUUUUAAAAAAUUAUAGCACUUUAAGAUUUUAAAGAAACACUUUGUCGUAAGAUAAAAUGUUUUUGCCAACUAUGUAUCAAAAUUACAAAUAUUAUCUAAUGAUAAUGUGUAAGCCUAAAAAAAUAGUUUAAUCUCGUGCGAAGCACAGGUAAUUUGCCUAGUAUUUAAUAAGUACAUAUUUUUGUGUAUCUAUUAUUUCAUAUGUAGAAGUCAUCGAUGAUAGAAAUUUUUAGUGAAAGUAAUACAAAUUAUUAACCAUGCAAAUAUCUAAGGAUUAAAAAACAUUAAAUUAAUCCUAUGAUAAGUUUCAAGUUAAAAAGGCCUGAAAUAUGAAAUAGAGUGGGAAUAAUGUCUUCUUUUUUUCAAUAGUUUGUUCAAUAGUUUGUUCAAGGAGUUAAUAAUGUUUUUCUUUCUUGUUUUAUAAUUUAAGUAAACCUGAGAAAUAGUGGUGUUUUUAUACAUUGAGCAAAGGUAAAUAAUAUUGGGAGUAGUACUGAGUACCGAUAUAAGAGAGAGUUUGGACAACUCACAGUCUCCAUAAAUCAUGUCUUACCAACAUGGGUACAUGAACAUACGUUUUAGAUGAAUCCUUAGAGACUUCAGGCAUAGCUUAGUGGAUCCACAUAGUUGAGGUGUCAUAUAUUCUGACACGAUAUAAGAUAAUUUUGGCAGCGCGUGAACAAAACGUUGUACCAUUACUUGACUCAUAGUAAUGGUUGUCAGUUAAAGAAUCUCCCAAUAGAGUUAAAGUGUAUUUUAUGUAUCACUUAUUAUGCUAACGUCCACAGAUUGAGAAAGUAUAUUUGUAGAGUUUUAUGAUUUCACUUCAUUAUUUAUUUACAUUAAGUUGGAUAUAAAUGUACAUAUACUGCAACCCUUUCUUUCAAUACAUACUCGUACAUUCAAUAAAUUGAUUUCGUAAGUACCACAAAGCUAUGAACUUCAAUUAUUUUUCUGCACCUUCUAAAUUUUUUGAGUUAUGCACAUCCAAGGUAUUACACUUGGGGUGAUCGAGAUUGUUUUAAUCGUGGCGAGGUUGUCCACUACGUCAGAGAUUGCCCCAAAUGUAGGGUUGUAGCACCUACGAGUAGAGGAGAUGCUUAGGGACAAGGGUGGUCCCCCAAGUGCUUGAGGAAGUACUCAAGUAGGUAGAGCAGGAGAAAGAGUUGGACUCCACUUUUUUGGAAGAUGUGGGCAUUUUUAUGUGGUUCCUGCUAGGUCGGAUUGUGAGGCUUUAGAUUAAGUGAUUUCAAGUACGAUCUCAAUUUUUUAUUGAUCGAACUUUACUUUAUUUGAUUCCAGAUGUACUUAUUCGUACGUAUAUGUUUAUUUCUCUCCUUGAUUAGAGUUGCAUUUUUGAGCCCUUGUAAAUGUUGCUGCCUGUAUCGACUCUCAUAUUGAUUCUUUAGGAGUGGAUCAGGUUUGUGACAAUUCAUAAGUGCAACACGCAAGCUGACCUUAUUUUUCCUUAUAUGCUUAAUUUUGAUGUUAUUCUGGGCAUAAACCGGUUAUCCUUCUUAUGUGCGGUCCUAGAGUGCUUUGCCAAGACUGUUAUCUUAGUCAUGCCUAGUAUUCCCCCGGUUAUUUAGCUUUUAUUGGUGAUUUUAGCAAGGAGGGACCUAUGACUGAUUUUGUUCCUGUUGUGAGAGAAUUUGUCGAUGUAUUUUCUACUGAUCUACUUGGCGUUCGUCCUGAACGUGAUAUUGAUUUAUUUAUUAACCUUAACUCAAGCACUCAUUCUAUUUCUAUUCUACAGUCUUGUAUAGAACUUCUUAGCUUAAACAACUCAAUAUUCAGCUUCAAGAACUUUUGAGUAAGGGCUUUAUUAGAACGAUUGUCUCACUUUAGGGUGAUCACAUACUGUUUAUGAAGAAGAAGGAUGGGUCUAUGCGUAUGUGAAUCAAUUACAGUCAACAAGAAUCAGUACCAUAUGCCUCAUAUCAAUGACUUGUUUGAUCAACUUCAGGGUGUCAUUGUGUUUUCAAAGAUUGAGUUGAUGACAUGUUAUCAUCAACUAAGAAUUAGGGUAAAGGACAUCCACCUUUAGGUGUUUUAUUUACUGUGAAAAAAGUACUCUCUAGAUUACUAAAUCACCACAUAAGUGAUGAUAACUCAUAAGACCACAUUCAAAUACAACUUGACACUAAUACUUCAUCAAAAAAUUGGGCCAGUGCAUGCACGGUUAACAUCAUCUAGUAAAUGAAACAAAGAUCAAUAGAAAGUUCCGUGAAGGAUGUCAGAGUGAAGAUAGAAUCAGUUACAUGUCAUGCACAUCAAUGACUCUUUAUUUUCCUGUAGUAAGAUAUAAUAUAUUAUUCGGAGUUACCAUUCUAUCAUUUAUUGCAACUAAAAUGCUAUCCCUCAAUAUAUAGUACUAUACAUGAUUCAAGGUAGCCAAUUGUAGGUUAAUUUUUAACUCGUACAGUGUACCACCUUUAGUUGAUCAGCCUUGUUCUAGUAGUAGCAGUGUUCUGUAACAUUUCCAGUUGCUCAUCUCAGAUCAUCUACUCAUCUAAUAUUGAGAAACUCAACUAAUAUAUACAGAGUAAAAAAUGCAACUCUCCUAUCAUGAUGAUCUUUCUUAAGAUUUGAAAUCGUAACAACUUUAUAACAUCAUAAUGAAGGAGUAACACCCUUGGGAUCAAAAUACACAGAGAUUCAGGCCUCUGCAUAAGCACAACAUUACAUUUAAUAGAAGCACUAGAACAUAUCCACGAAACUAGAUUUAUUCUUGUGCAAACAUUUAAUAGUACAUUAUCAAUUUGGCUUUAUUGGCAUUUGAGUAUUUAUUUACUUUUACCAAAAGCAUCCUUAUAAUUUCACUUCAACUCUAGUUACAUUCUUAUAUUAAAUAUUUCACUUAACAUGAAAUAUGCUUGAAAUUUUCAUAAAGUAAGCAGAAAGAUCCUCCUUUAUAUUUUUCAGCCAUUUUUGCGGGAGCUCAUAACACUCCUUUUGCUUUCAUCCCUUUUUAGUGGCAAAAUUCUAUUGUAGGUUCCUCUUAUCUAGUGUUCUUCUCUCACCUCUCGUUUUCCUCCUUCAUAUACAUCACUAAUCAGUCAAAACCCCUAAUGUCUUUUACUUGUGAUUUCUGCAGGACGUAAAUUUUCAAAUUGAGUUUCAACACCUUUUAAUAUUUUAUUUAUGUCUUGUGUUUUUUUAUUUAGUUGAAUAUUAUCUAAUUAUGAAUCGAGUCCUUGAUUAUCCAUGCCUCAAUUGAUUUCUUGUUCUUAAAAAAGGCUGGGGUAAUUAAUCUUGAAACAGAAUCUUCCCUAAACAGUGAUUACUCAAGGAAAAUCAAAGAUGGAUAGCGUAAGGAUAUGGGUGUCCAAAUCAAUGUUGUUCUUGUUUUGCUUCUUUUUGAGAGUAUUCUAAAGUGUUUUAUACAUGUUUAAAUUGUGUUAAGAUUUAUAUUUUCUAUUACGAUAUUCUUUAACUCAUCAUAAGUUACAAGUAUAUUUUAUGAGUUAGCAAAUGUGAGUCGUUUGUAUAAUGGUAAAGGUAUAGAUGGACCACUUUAAUUACAAGGAGCAUAUCAGCUCCAAAUGACAGUUAAGGGGUAUAUCAGACCCUUUUCCCCUUUUUAAUAACCAAGAAAUCCACAUGUGACCCGACGCAUUUUGGGCCAAUCACAUUCUUCUAAGCUCGAUGGAUAAUUGACCCGCCCCUCUACUCUUCUCUAUGUAAAAAUUGGACUUUGCUUUGCAUGGUGUGGGGCUCGAACCUGCGACCUAAUCCACAAAUCCGCCACAUUUUUCCACUCGAGCUAGGCCUUAGGGGUAUGUUUAAACUUUUUUAUACAUUAUUAUGAGUAAGAAGAUAAAUACUUUCGUAUUGUUAAAGCUAAUAGUGGAAAGUUGUUAAUUAAGCAUGUCUACAUUAGAAAAUAUACAUAGUUCAAUAAGAGCAAAUUUAGAAAAUAUACAAAUACAAUAAAAAAAAUUAUCCCAGAAACUGAUUUACUUAUUAACUUUGCUAAAUUUGAACAAAAAUUUAAUUAAUAUGAUGAUUUGGGUCAAAUCCUACCAAUUAAAGAAUAUCAUCAUAAAUAUUUUUACUUUUUUGUUAUUGAAUUCAUUUUUCAUCAAAUAAUAUAGUGGUUCUAUCUUAAUAAAUACAUCUUUAAAACAGAGACUCAACAUCACAUUUUUUACAUUCUCAAAUCAAAAGCUUAGCCAUGAGAAAACCUAAUGGCCGCAAAAAAAUUGAAAUUGCGAAGAUUCAAAAUCAAACCAACUUACAAGUAACAUUCUCAAAAAGACGUACCGGCCUAUUUAAAAAGGCAAGUGAGCUCUCGACUUUGUGUGGUGCUACUGUUGCUAUUGUAGCUUUUUCUCCUAGCAACAAAGUAUACGCAUGUGGACACCCUUCCGUCGAGUCAAUUGUGGAUAAAUUUAUCGGAGAGAAUCCUCCACCUGAAACUGAUGAUCCUAACCCCGUCAUUGUAGCUCAUCAAAAUGUCAAUAUUGAUGAGCUCAAUAAAAAGCUGAACAAGUUGGAGAGAUCACUCGAAAGAGAAAUAAAACAUGGGCAAGCACUUCAAGCAUUGAGGACAGAACCUUCAAAUGAAAAACUUAGUUUUUUUGACCUUAAGAUCUUGUGCGAGUCCUUGGACGCUGCGGAUAAAAAAGUUGAAAAACUAGCAAGCCAACUUAUGGAGUGUGGUAUUGAAUUCCCAUAUAAAACCAUUGGAAGUGCGCUCGCUCCUUUAAGAGCUAGGGAAAGCACUUCGUCCGUUUCCAGCGAAGGGUCAUCUGGAUCCGGUGAAUAAGUUUUUCUUGCUUUAUUUAAAGUUCAAUAACAUAAUUUGGUAUUUAUACAGUUAAGUAUUCCAUAUUGAUGAUUAAGUUUUGAUCUUAAUUUUAUCUUUUAGUAUGUUCGUCAUGAAAUGGAAUAAGCUUUUGUUUUGAUACUUCAUAAAUUUUUUUGUCUUUCUUUUUUGUGGUCCAUUUAAAAAAUAAUGUAUUUUUACAACACUUAGUUUAUAAUUUUUACAUAAUUUAUCCCCUCUGUUUUGGAGAAUAUACCCAACAAUUUAACCUUCAGAUUGCUUCAAGACAAGCACCACUCAUAAACUACAGAAUGCUAUUAUAAGACCAAUGCCAGUUUCUAGGGCGACAAUGAGGGGCCUUCCUUCCCAUGACAAGCACUAUUAUAUAUAUUUAUAAGUGCAUACAAGUUACACUAUAGAAUACACACAAAAAAAUUACAACACACUAAAUAGGGAGAGAUUCACAUAAAAAAAUCACGAUAUGAAAGAUAAACCACCUUAUAAUUAUCACUAACAAUAUCAUACCCUAAACCAUACGCUAGUUUUAGGAGGAAGAGCCCAAAAAACAGGAAAUUUAGGAAAUUGAAUAUAUUCCCUAUCAACCUAGCUACAGAAAUGUAUGAGCAGCUGGAAAUUAAUCUUUAUUGAAAUGCUAUCGAUGAAUUCAUCUUCGAGGAUAAGUAUGAAGUUGGCCACGCUAACUGAGUUUCUAUUCUUGUCUAUGGGCAUGGAGGUCUGAGAGAAAAUUGCGGCAGUGCUUUGAUAGGCAUUAUAUUUAGCUUUACAGGGAGGCGAUAGAAUAUUUCAAUUAUGACUUUUGCAGGUAGCUAUUUAGCUUUGCCUCAUUGCCAUUGUUGAAUUUUCGAGUGUAUUUCAAAGCGUCAAUCUAGUGAAUCUAUGUGCGCUGCAACAUUUUUUUCACAUAUUUGACCUAAAACAAAAUCCUAUAAAAUAAUCUUUAUUUGUAUUUCAUGGCCAAACACAAUUAAAUAUUAUAAUAUUAUUUUUCAUGUUAAAAAAUAAAUUUUUAUUUGAAGAAUAGGGGAAUCGGUGAAAGAGGAAAGUUGAAUAAAUUUGUUGUCAUUAAAAAGGGGGAAAAUAUUAUUUUUGAGUUGAUAUGAAGUUCUGAUAAUGUAGCAAACUUCGAGUUCUAACAAGGAUUUUGUAACAGGCCUUGAUCAAUCAGUUUGCUAUAAAUUGCAAAGGAUUGAGAAAGUUACAACUUGAAAUAGACAAAGUACUGGAUUAUAAUCCAAAUCCAAAACAUGAUGAAAGGUAAACUUUAGAAAAUCUUCUUUUCAGCACCGCAACUACACUUGAGUUUCUCCAAACGGGCUUAAGUUUCCUUGAGGUAAGCAUUUGACAUGUCGUUAUACUUAUAUAUCUUAAAGGAAUUGUUUUCAUGCAAUUCUAAUUUUUGUUGCUCCUAAGCGUUUUGAGUGCUGACACAAUUCCCAAGGGAGCUCCAUUUACGAGCAUGCAAGAGUUUUCAUUAGGAAUAGACUUUGGAAAACUGUGUCAAAUUACUUGUGUUCCACUGUUGAUUGAGAGUUGCCCCAAUUCGAGUAUACUUCAGAUUUUGGUAAGUAGCGGUAAAUUAUGUGGCCAUGAUAUGAGUAUGAUCUCAUUGAUUUUUUCACUCCUUAUAUAUACUGUGACAAUGCUGAUGACACUGUUUUGAAACACCUGGAUAGACCGAUUACCAUCUUGGACCUACAACUGAACUAGCUCAAGUAUGUGUGCCCGCAGCACGACAGAUGUCUGGUGCCCGCAGCAUAAUAGUCGUCUCACAAUGUGUGCUUGAGAGGCUCAUUGCAACGCGAUCAAAUAUCUUACUACUUGUAUGAGCUGGAAUCAUAAUUAGAAGAGUAUUAAUUUAAAAGUGGAUUUUAUGGGGCACACCUUGUUUUUUGUGCUGCAAACUGAAAUCUGCAGUACAAUUGGAACUUAGAAACAGAGAUUUCCUAUGUCUUAAAUGUCAAUAGUGUCCACCAACAAGGCAAUAAUGUGGGGAUUCAAUACUUUUUCAGUAUGAGCGUAUCCAUCUGGUUGUCUUUGUAAAAAUGCGAUUAAGAUGAAGAAUACAAGUGAGAAUAUCUAUAGACAUAGGAGUUGGGCAUAAAAUUCCUUCAGUUCAUUUGCACCAGCAGUUCAAAGCAACCUUUUCUACUUUUCUCAUGAUUUUGUGUUUUAUUAGGUGGAAAGCUGCCAAAUAUGUUGGGCAAGGAAAACAGUUCCUCUGUUUGGUUUGUGCAUGGCUUUUAAAAGCUAUUUAACUCCAUUGGAAGUCGCCCUUCAAAUGUUGUAUCUUUGCUAAAACACUGUAAUCUAAUAUAUUGAUCCUUGCUUCCUAAAUGCAGAUUCUUGAUGCGCCUCUUAGAAACUCUAUAUUGAAGUCCCUAAUGUGUUUGCGUUGACUAGCCUACAGGCAGACUAAGUUUAUUUAACACUCCUUCCGCCUUUAUGAUUUUAUAUUUUUAAAAAAGACCAUAUCUCACAAGUAUGAAUCGUGACUUCUAAAAACACAUUCUCAUUUCCAAUCAAUAAAAGAAAAAUACAGAAUUUGAACAAAAACCAAAAGUGGUGGUUUAAUUGGAGCAGCCCAUCAGGCUUUAUUGGACUUAGGAGGGUACCGACUCGUUAUCCAUCCACUGCAUAGAGCGGGAACUAUUUUUUGCUCUGUGAAACCAUGCUCACGCAGUCCGCUCCACUUUAGGAUCCCAGAAGCCCAUUCUUUCGAUUGAUAGCAAGGCCCAGCUCUAUGCUUGGACAGGGUAGGCAUGAAAUUAGCCCACCAGGCCCAACCAUCUGGAACAGCCCAACAUUCCACCACACUAAUGCCCCAACUUGGGUUACAAGCCCAUAUUACUAAG